This 45147-nucleotide long non-coding RNA is filed under the name Arachis ipaensis. RNAcentral's name for it is "long non-coding RNA (AIPA_LNC001651)". The record is from RNAcentral. Lineage: Eukaryota; Viridiplantae; Streptophyta; Magnoliopsida; Fabales; Fabaceae.
CGAGCCUUGUGUGAGCUUCUCUAGUACCACCAGGCACAGGAUGUUAACUAUCACCGAUGACAACUUUAUGAAGAAUGGCACUGUUGAACUUGAACAAGUAUGUCAUAUACCUGCCCAAUGGCCUCUUAGAGAUGAUCUAUUGAUCGACAACGGUGUGUUACCAAAUUUUCGAGGAUUUUGUUCUGUUGGUGGCUGCUUUUACUUUGCUGGUAAUGCGCGUAGUCUUUUAACACAUAACGUGAGUGACGAUCGGUACUACUCAAAGCUGUGGUGCCUUAAGUAUGAGGAUUCUACUUGGGUUUGGAGUCUAUGUGGAACCAUGUUCUGCUCCCAAUUAAGUCCCUUAGUAGUCCCAUACGAUGGCAAAUUGUGCAUGUUUUGGGGUGACUAUCAAAUUGCAAAUUGGGUUGAGAUCUAUAGCCUAAAAUCAGGUCUAUGGGAAAAAAGGGAAGUGCCCGAUAGUGCUCUCUUCUCACAUCACCCGUUGCCUAGCUCGUACUUUCUGUGGGAGGACAGCACCAAGAGUCCCAAGAAGACCCUCAUUGUAUUGUAUUCUUUUCAUGAUAAUCAUCAGUUGCUCAUCUCAUAUGAUGUCAAGGCUAACAGAUGGGAAAAAGUUGAGUGCAAUUUUCCGCCAGUUCCUAGAUAUUGUCCUAGAAGAUUAGUUCGUUUGGGAUGUAGCCAUUAUCUUCUGAUUGUAGACUUCGCUCCAACGUGGUAUAUUUAUGACUUGUCUGAGAAGAAGCUUAUGGCAAUAGUGCACGUGGAUGGUUUGGAGGAGGAGGAUGUGCGGGUAAGAAAUAUUUUUUGUUGCCAACACAGUAGCAAAGAAAGUUUGAUUUAUAUAUUCCCGGAACACGAGGAAGAGGAAGAAUUUCCUGAGUUUGUUUCUUAUGCCAGAGUCAGGCUCCAACUCCAAACUUUUUCUGCCAACAUUGAAUCCAAGGGUUAUCUUAGAGUUGGUCCUUAUUACCAUUACCGUAUGUGAGUAUGCGCUUCUCUUUAAACUUGUUUCACCCUAUCCAUUGAUUGAGCUUUGAUAUUUACUUGUUUAACUCGGUGGACAGAUUUGCUGCUGGAGAUGAAGGCAAUAAAGAGAAGACUGUAGUUUAGUAUACGGGUGUGGUGGAUAUUAGGAAUUAGAAUUUGAGCAUGAAUGACAAGUAGCCAAAGAAAGAAGUGAUGGAUAGCAAAGUGAUAUGAAAGCUGUAGCCACCUUGAAUCCAACUUUGUUGCCAAGACAUGCAUGCCAAUCUGCCUUUCUAUUGUACAGAAAUAUUUUGUAAGCUAUGUAUUUACCUCUGGCCUGAAACACAGGACUCAACAUCUCCCAAGUCUAAGUGCAAUUCAGAUGUAUAUACUCUUUUAUCAUGAUUUUGAGAUAUUAGAAUCUUCAACUUUCGUUAAGUACUAAUGUGACUUGUAUCAUAUCGAGCACAAGAUAUUAUCUCCUUACAGAUCAUACUACUAUCAUUUUGCCAGAUUUAUUAGUUAGAGUUUAUAUCUUAUUUAAUAUAAAAUACCAUAAUAAUUAUGUUCAAAUAAAAUUAUUUAUUUAUUUUUAUUAUAUAAAAAAAAGUUAAUAGUAAAUUUUUGUUAGAUAAAUUUAAUAUAAAUAAUUAUGUUAUUAGAAUUUAUUAUUUUUAGCUAUCAGUUGCUCGUCAAUGUUUAAAAGUAUAAGAUAAAGUAUGUUGUUAAAUUAUAAAACUGACUAAAAAUAAUAAAUUCUGAUCGUCCCUAGCAUUUAUUUUUUAUUUUGUCAUGUCAAAUAUUUUAAAGUCCUUUAGCAGGAGUCGAAGCACCACUAAAACCUAUUACUAAAAUAUUAGUUGGGAUUAAAUCAUCAGGAUGCUUGCUUACCUUCAUCAGCAUCCUCUCGGGUAAGAGGCUUAUAGCUGCCCCUCCAUCGAUCAGGAUUUUGUAAAUUUUUAUCCCACUCAUAGUUGCAGUAAUAUGCAAUGGGCGCAAAUGAGAUUUUUGUUUUUCAGAAGCCCUUCGAAAAUAAUCGGGUUCAUCCUCAUAUCGAAUGAAUGAAAAGGUUUCUUCAUCGUCCACAUCAUAAUCCUCUAUAAGAUUUCCUUCAUAUUCCCCCAGAUAUUCAGUUGGGAUAAUUGAGAUGGUACCGACCAUUUCAUCACAUCCUUCUUUGAAGUAAUUUUUCGUCCAGAUAAGCACCCUUAUCUUUAUCAGCGAUUGGAACACUAACGACUGCUUUUCCUUUAUCCAAUUUCACAGGGGAAGUAACUCCCUUCGGAUUUGUCUCUCCAUCAGUCGAAAAGACUAUUUGAGAGAACACAGAUGGUGUUGCCCCCUUGCCGUUGUCAGCAAGAGAUAUCUUAGGUGGCUGUUGUCCUUUUUGGCCUUUGCCUCGUGGGUACCUCCUAGCUUGGCCAUGGAAAUAUGAAAAUCGACCUCGAGGAGGACCUCUAUGCCCCAACUAUGGGGUACGCUUGUAAUGAGCAACCCUAUUCUGGAACUCUCGGCAGUUUCAAAUCCAUUGUAUGCCAAUGGCUUGAGAACGGUUGGUAGGCGCAAUAGGAUUUUUCUGAGGACCUCCAGAACUUUACCCUUUCAUUCGUUGAAUAGGUUGUUUCUGACGGGCUUGUUUUUCCCUAUGAUCCAAUUCCUUCUUCAUUCUUUCCUUCUCAAAAAUUGCUGCAGCUUCAGCAUCGAAAACUACAUUGCAUCAAGGACAUAGAGAUACGUCCCGAUCUUUUAACUUCUGCUGCACCAAAAAAUCCAACAACCCAUCUCCUACUCCAGGGUAUACAGAUUGGACAUCUGAUUCAAAAUUUCCUAGAGAUAUAUCAAAGUCAUAAGACAUUCCAACCAUGUUUACACCAAAAUAUGGUUCAGCAAAACUAGCUUCAGUAUCGAAAGGAUCAGAAUCAACUUUCAUUUCCUUUUUACUAUCAUCGAAUUUCAACCUCCCUUCCAUGAUGGCCUCUUGAAUUAAAUCCUUGAAACGAACGCAAUUGUUAGUCGAAUGACUAGUUACUUGGUGGAAGUUACAAUAAAAUUUCCCUUUUAAAUCUUUCGCUGAAAGCAAAGUUCUGCCUUCCAACAAAACUAAUUGUUUAUCUUUAAGCAACACAUCGAAAAUCUGAUCAGAUUUUGAAAUAUUAAAACUAUAUCUCUUUCCACUUUUCAAUUUUGAAACAUUUGACUUUUCAUUGUCAGGGAUUUUCUUAAGUAAAGAACAAACAUAAGGAUGACCGUUCUUAAGUUCAGCCAAAUCAACUUCUGCCUCUAAAUCGGAUUCCUCAUCAGAGGAUUCCAUGGCUACAUAAGCAACUUUCUCUUUUGAGAAAAAGAUUUACUCUUCAAUCUCCUUUCAUUCUUAUAUUUCUCCUUUUCUUUUUUUUCAGAAUUUCUACCUAACGAACUCUUUCAGCCAAAUUGGCCAAAUUAGGAAUAUGCACAUUGAGUAAUUUUCAACGCAUAUAAAAUUCUAAUCCCAUAGCUGCUAUCUUCACUACUUCACUUUUAGGAAGUGACACAUAACAACGACUUCUAGCAUUUUUGAAAUGAAUCAUAUAAUCAUCAAUGGUUUCACCAUCUUCUCGUUUCAAAGCCACCAGGUCAGUAACUGCCACAUUCAAUUCUCCCCGAUAAAAUAGGGCAUGAAAAGUAGUUUCUAACUGAGCCCAUGUUGUUAUCGAAUUUGGUCUAAGAUUCAAAAACCAAGUAAACACAUUCCUCGUUAAUGAGGAAGGAAAAACUUCAUUUUCAAACUUUCAUCAUUGGCCGAAUUUCUAAUCUCGACCAAAUAUCGAGCAACAUGUUCAAUAGUUGACUCUCCAACUUCUCCUGCGAACUUUAUAAUUAUUUUAGGAUUUUUCAUUCCUCUUGACACUUCAUCCAUUUGAACAUUCUGAGGAAAAGCUGACACAAAGUGGGAUCGAUUCAUGAAUCCUAUACUGAAUCCAACCCUAUUUAAAACAUCUUAGCUUCCACAAUUCUAGAAGUGCAUCAAAGACCCUCAAAUUAGAUAAAAUUAGAGGAAAAGACUGAAAAGACAACAAAUAAAUAAAAGAUUUUGAAAAUAAAAAGAAAAUGACUGGAAUUGAAAUGGUUUGCAUUGAAUUUAAAUAAAGUAAUAAAAUGCCUUUGAUUGGAUCAAAGGACUUUGAAUUCGAAAAUAAAAAUACUGGAAAUGUAAAUUGGACAAGAAUGUUAAAUUUUGCUUGAAAGAUAAAUUUGCAAGAAAGGUAAAGUUUGCAGAAAAAUGUAAAUGAAAAGUAAAACAAGUGGAAGGAACCCUACAGAGAAUUAACUCGAGGCAGACUCAGUAAAUCGCUGGGGAUGUGUGAGUGUGUGUGAGCAAUUUCUGAAGCAAAGUUCAUACUUUGAACGUCUUCUUUUAUCUCUUUGUUGCAACAAAACCCUAUAGUUCCGAAUUCGGGGUGGAUAUCUUUUCGAGCUGUACAGGGUCGGAAGGCUUUUUCUAUCUUUGAUGAUUCUUUCCACAAUUUUAAAAAUCACUUUUUAAGGUCCUGGGUGCUGUGAGUGUCCGACCUUUCUUCUUGUCCGAGAAUCAAGAACCCUCGUUUUCCUUAUACUGGCAAGAUACCGUUAAUAUCGUUAGGCAUGAUCUAGCCGAUUUAGAUGACUUAGAGAGGAGUGUUGAUUUUGUUUUGGGUACAUAGGAUGAAGCUCUCCAUUUGGACACAAAAAGAUAUUUAGGACAUCCCAGCCUUCUGAAGUCGGACCUCGGUAGUUCUCCUUCCUUUACUUACUGAAUUCUUUUUAUUUUACAGUUGUUAUUUUUUACUGCGUCCUAUUUUGUUUUCAGAAAGUAUGGCUCUAAAAUCAGCUAUGAAAUAUUUUCGGAAUACCAAGAAGUCAAUUGUUGCCAAGAAUCUCCAGCAACAAAAGGAGGCCGGGGCUAGGUCCUUGGUCCGAUCUUCCCCGAGGAAGAAAUCGGGGUCGGGUCCCUCUGAGGAGAAGGUCAUCAUUCUUACCCCUCUUUCCAAGCUUAUUCCAUCUGAGCCUUCCCCUGAAUCUCCUUCUUCCACUGAACCCCCCUUCAAGAAGCAGAAGGUGGAUGAUGAAGAGAGCAUUUAUUCAAGGAGCUUCGAUGCCCUAACUUGGGGUGAGAAGAACGUGCUCCCUUACCACCACCUAAUCAUGGACGAUGUUGUCAUUCAGAACCACCUACAGCCUUUGGCCCGUGGAGGGCUUCGAACAGUUGGGAUGUGUGCUACUUUGGCUAGAGAGUUGAGGAGCUCUCCUAUACAGGCCACAACUAGUGCUCUUAUGGCUACUCGAGCUGAUGUAAAGAGGGUGAACGAGCUGAAAAAGGACUUGGAGCAGGAACAGGAGACCUUGAAGUCCGACCUUGAAAGAGCUCGGAAAAGAGCUAAUAAGUCGGAGGCUGCUGCUGCUUUUGCCGAGGAAAAGGCCAAGAAAUUUUAGAAAAGCUUCACUCGUGUAUUUGGGGAGAGAAUGGCACGGGAGGAGGAGUUGGGAAAACUGAAGGAGCAGUUUGCUGAGUCCUAGGAGUUGGCCGCUCUGGGAAUGAACGAGAUGCUUGACAACUUGGAAGCUCAGGUUAAGGUCUUGGUUCCCGAGCUUGACCUUUCCCUCUUCAGCGUAGACAAUAUAGUGGUGGACGGGAAGAUAGUCCCUGCACUCGAGUCGGACGAAGAGGAGGAGCCUCCUCAGAAUCUGAAGACUUCGGGACCUCAGGUCAGUCAUACUUCCACCUCGGGAGCCUAACCCAAAGCUUCUGUUGUGGAGGCCUCUUCUUCUGCUCCUGAGAAUAUUUCGGCUGUGUCAGUUUUUAUGCAUCCUCACACUCCUUCAGCUGGGGGCAAAGACGUUGUGACUGGCGAGGCUCUCAAAUCCUCUAAUGGGUGAGAAGUCUUGAACUUUUUUAAAUUCCUUUGUUAUCUUUUGUUUUUCAUAAUAUCCCGACCUGCAGGCUUUGAUGAUACUUUAGUUUUUUGUAUUAGUUUAAUAGUUUUUUGAACACUUUAACUUUGUUUAGUUGUUUUGACAACUUUUAGCAAGUAAUGUUCAAAAUUUAUUUUCUAUCAUGGAGCAUCUGCUUUAGAGAACGGCUUUUGCAUAGCCGGAUAUCCUUUAUUUGAGGUCACUUUGUACAAGUUGUUUGUAUAACUUCUUACAUUAACUUGUAUCUCGUCGCUUCAUCUUGUCGUCCACUUUAGGUCGGACAAUGAUUUUUUGCGGUUUGUCGAGUUUAAAUUAAUGCGUUUAAGAUAGGAAACCUUUAAAAAAGUAAAUAAAAUAAGAAUUUUUAUUGAUAUUCCUUUACAAAUUCCUUUAUUAUAUUUGAAAUUCUUAGAAGCUGCCCUAAAAUCUAAAAACAUUGAGUUAUUGAUAACUAACCCUGACCCAUACUAUCAAUUAACUUGGAACUUUUCUUCCUCACUGGUUCAUGUGGAUUAAAAAAAAAAAUCAACACACACUAAGAAAAAAAGGACCUAAAAAAAGUUUAUUUAAAUUGAAAACCACAAACAAAAGAGAUUAGUUUUCUGGUUAGGUUACCCUAAAAUAAAAAGCAAAACAGUAGUAGUUCAUUUAUGUUGAAAGCAGGAACUUAAUUAGUACCUGAAAUUCAAUUGCUUUCAAAAUUGUCUUGACGAUGAUUGAGGAGAUGUAGUUAUGUUAUGCCGUCAACAAUGGAAGGAGCUGAAAUAGAAAGAACAAAUCGAAGGAACAAAAUUAUUAAGAUAAAAAAAAAUUAAAAAGACGGAAAGAAUCAUGGCUAGGAAUCAACAAGAUACGGAUGAUAUGAAAGUAGCGGUAAAAGGAUAAAAAACAAAAUCCAAGAUUUAAAUUAAGAACAAGAUUUUGAUUGCUAAUUAAUUAAAAAAACACAUGUCAAUCAAAUUAAGAAGCUAUAUCAUGGGUGCAUCAAUGUCAAUAAUAAGCUUGAGAAGAUGAAAGAAAGAAGACUCGAUAAAUAAAUAAAUAAAUUAUGGAUAAUUAAGAAACAACAUCUAGCAAUUCAUUGGUUAAUAAAACUUGACAAAUUAAUCUUUAACAUACUAAAUUAGGGUAUGUCUAAAACGAACUCAACUAUUAUGUGCUUAUUGAAUGAGCCACAUUUAUAAAGGCUGUUAGAUUUUAUUAGAUGAAAAUUAAAGGCUAAUAUAAAAUAAGAACAUUGAUGGACUCUAAUAAAUAUAGAAUAUCCUAGUACAUAAAUAAAUACUUUAAAUGGUAAUACUUUAAUAUUUUUAUGUUAGUUAUAGUUUAAAAUAUUAUUUUAAUAUAAUUUUUUAAUAUUAUAAAAUUUUUUUGCAAUAAUUAAUUUUAAUAAAUAAAAAAUAUUCAUAUAUUUUAUAUUUAAUUAUUUAAGAAUAAAAGAUUUUGUUGCCGUUUAAAGUAUUGUGUAUUAAAAUAUUACCAUUUAAAACAUUUAUUUAUGUACUAAGAUAUUUUAUAUUUAUUAGAGUCCAUCAAUACUCUUGUUUUAUAUUAGCCUUUGAUUUUUAUCUAAUAAAAUCUAAUGGCCUAUAUAAAUGUGGCUCAUUCAAUAAGUACAUAAUGGUUGAGCUCGUUUUAGACAUACCCACUAAAUUAAAGAAUAUCAUAAAAAAAAAUUUCGAUAUAUCAUAUAUAAGAGAAAUCAAGAAAAUUGGAGUAAAGAUUAAUAGGAAAAACAAACUAGCGCAAAAAUUGAAGGUAACUAAAAUAAAAUAUUAAAGUUGAUCUUGAUGAUGAAUUAAAUAAAGAACAUAAUGAACUAACCAUAGUUUUCUUAAUCAAACAAACAAACAUUACAUGCUGAAUUUCUUUACUGACAUAAGAAUGUGAUGGUUAAUUACCUUGGCUUAAUAUAUAUUUGAAGAGGAAAAAAAAAGUAAAAUGUGAAGCGAAAAAGGUUUAAGAAAGAAGUUAAAAAGUGUGAAUUUUAAAAAGAGAAAAGACUAAAGAGAAUAGAAUUAAAAAUGAUUAUUAAUUAAUAAAAUUAAUAAAACUAUAUUAAUUUGUUAAAUAUUUUGUUUUAUCAAUUUAAAUAAUAUAAAUUUAAUUUAUCCUGUAUAACAAAAAAUANNNNNNNNNNNNNNNNNNNNNNNNNNNNNNNNNNNGCUAAAAGAUAAAUAUUUUAAGACAAAAAAAAAAGUGUUAAUACACGAGAUACUAAGUAUUUAGAUAAGGUGCGUUUUAAAAUAAAAAGAGGUUAAUAAUUUUACAAGUGUCGCACUCAAUUCUGGUUAAGUGGACUCUGCUAAAAGAAAAUUGGUGCAAAAUAAAUAUAGAUGGUUCAAUCUUUUAAAAUAAAGAUUCCGAUUCUAAUGAUAAUUUAACCAGAGAUUCAAAUGACAUAAUUCUCGCGCUGGAAAUCCAGAAUUUCUCUACUAUUCCUCCUUUUUUGCUCUUUUGUUAGAUGCAAACAUAAUACUUAAUUUUGUUUUGUUAGGACCCCUUCAUAAAAAAAAAAAUUGACUUUCACUUUGAAAUAACAGAAGUCGAUCACUGCUUUGCUCUUGACAAAUAGUUGUAAAAUACAAAAUAUGCCAUAUGCAGUGGUCUUCAAUAAUUACAUAACAAAGUGGCCACAUGUUCAUACGAAACACUUCAAUUCUUACAAAAUACAAAGAUAUCAAAACUACCACACCAUAUUGGAAAUUGAACAUAUAAUCAUCCAAUCCACAUUAGACAACACAAACAUUAAUCUAGUACUAGCGUUUUUCUUAGAGGAUAGAAAAUACUGUUUGAAUAAGUGAGAAUAAGCAGAAAAUUUCUAGCAACAGAAACUACUAUUUUUCAUAGAAUGUUACAGAAAGCAUUCAACUCUUCAAAAAUAAAGGAAUUUGCACAUUAAAAUCUGGAUACAAAAGAUUCACUCCAAGACUAUUGAACAUUUUGGCCACUGCAUUGCUAUCACCUAACCAAUUCACAAUUAUUUUUUUCUUAAUAAGGAAAUCUACAUCUUUGUCUGCAUUGAUAAAAAAAUAAAAUAAACAUAUAAAUAAUGUAAAAUUAAAUAUUAAAAAAACAGAGAAAAGGGGAAAGCAUUUAGUAACAAACCAGCAUGAAAAAGGAGCAUUUUGUUAAGAAACUUUGUAUAUAAUUUCAUGCAUUGCAUGGCCAAGAUAGUGUUUGGUGACCUAAAACCUAAAACAGAAAGCAACAUGCCAAUCAUGUCGGCGCCCGCACUCUUCUCCACCGUGAGCGCCGCCACGGCCAUUGCCACAACCUUGUUGUUAAUCUGCAAGUGUCGUCUCAUGCGCGUCAGCCCCUACCAAAAGAACCUCACAACACACCGUCGCCAACAACCCAAACGCAAUCAACGUGGCAAGGUGCUAUUCGUUUCCCAAAUCGGAACUUCAAAAGCCCUAGCGACGUGCCUCUGCGAUUUGUUAGAGUCGAAAGGCAUCGUUUUGGACCUCGUAGAUGCCCGGAAUUACGAGCCCGAAGCCCUACCCAAGGAGAGCCUCGUCCUCCUCGUUGCUUCAACUUCGGAAGUUUGGAACCUAUAUUCCGCACGGGAUUUCUACUCCGAUCACGACCUACCUUGGGGAGCAAAGUUCUUCGUCAAUUGGAUCGAGGAAAAAAAGAACGCCUUUAAGGUUGGAGCAUUUGUUGUGAAUGCUUGCAGUUUCAGUGCCUUUGUCGUGGGCAGCGGUGGCAAGAAUUUGAUGGCUAAGGCCGCCAAUGAGAUUAGGGAUUUGGGGCACACUGCUGAAUCGAAAGCGGAUUUUGAUAGCUGGUGGGGAAGUGUUGUUGCGGUUUUGGAAGGUGCUGUUUUGGGAGAUGCUGCUGAUGGAAUAUGCGGGGAAUCUGAUCCUGAGGUCCGUUUCUGCAUCCUCUUAACUGGAUAACUAUCCGUUUCUAUUUAUUAUUAUCACACUGCAGAGCUCUCUGUUUAAUAGUUAAUUGUUUCCCUAAUUCCAGGAUGUUGGUUCUUCUGAUCUAAAGCUAUCCAUGACACAGCGUUUAUAUAUGUUGGUAGAAAAUGAGGAUUUUGUAAUAGAGCAAACCGAGCCUUAUUUGAGAUUCUCUAGUACCACCAGGUACAGGAUGUUAACUAUCACUGACGACAACUUUAUGAAGAAUGGCACUGUUGAACUUGAACAAGUAUGUCAUAUACCUUUCCAAUGGCCUCUUAGAGAUGAUCUAUUGAUCGACAACGGUGUGUUACCAGAUUUUCGAGGAUUUUGUUCUGUUGGUAGCUGCUUUUUCUUUACUGGUGAUGUGGAUGGUCUUAUAACACAUCCGAACGGGGGUUAUUAUGAUUGUCCCUACUCAAAGCUGUGGUGCCUUAAGUAUGAGGAUCCUACUUGGGUUUGGAGUCUAUGUGGAAGCAUGUUCUGCUCCCGAUCAAGUCCCUUAGUAGUCCCAUACGAUGGCAAAUUGUGCAUGUUUGGGGGUGGGUAUGGAUAUGCAAAUUGGGUUGAGAUCUAUAGCCUAAAAUCAGGUCUAUGGGAAAAAAGGGAAAUGCCCGAUAGUGCUCUCUUCUCAGCUCACUCGUACUUCCUGUGGGAGGACAGCACCAAGACUCGCAAGAAGACCCUCAUUGUGUUGUAUUCUUUUGAGGAUAAUCAUCAGUUGCUCAUGUCAUAUGACGUCAAGGCUAACAGAUGGGAAGAAGUUGAGUGUAAUUUUCCGCCAGUUCCUGAAUUUAGUCUUAGAAAAUUAGUUCGUUUGGGAUGUAGCCAUUUUCUUCUGAUUGUAGACUUCGUUCCAAUGUGGUAUAUUUAUGACUUGUCUGAGAAGAAGCUUGUGGCAAUAGUGCACGUGGAUGGUUUGGAGGACGACGAUGUGCGGGUAUCAAAUAUUUUUUGUUGUCACCACAGUAGCAAAGAAAGUUUGAUCUAUGUAUUCACGGAACACGAGUUCGUGAAAGAGGAGGAGCUAGAGGAAGGGUCAGAUCUUCCUCAUCUUGUUCCUUAUGCCAGAGUCAGGCUCCAACUCCAAACUUUUUCUGCCAAGAUUGAAUCCAAGGGUUAUCUUAGAGUUGGUCCUCAUUACAAAUACAAUAUGUGAGUAUGCGCUUCUCUUUAAACUUGUUUCACCCUAUCCAUUGAUUGAGCUUUGAUAUUUACUUGUUUAACUCGGUGGACAGGUUUGCUGCUGGAGAUGAAGGCAAUAAAGAGAAGACUGUAGUUUAGUAUAGGGGUGUGGUGGAUAUUAGGAAUUAGAAUUUGAGCAUGAAUGACAAGUAGCCAAAGAAAGAAUUGAUGGAUAGCAAAGUGAUAUGAAAGCUCUAGCCACCCUGAAUCCAACUUUGUUGCCAAGACAUGCAUGCCAAUCUGCCUCUACAAGUCUACAAAUAAAGAAAAGUUUAGGGGACUAACAACUUUAUUAAAUUAUGGCCAGUAACCAGCAAAAAAAAGUGAGUCAUUAGAUAAAAUGUCACAUCAAUCUCACAACAUUAAAAUCACCAUUAAUGGUUAUUUGAUGGCUACAAAUUACAAAAAUUGCUGUCCCCCUAGCAUUCUUCUACAAAUAUUUUGUAAGCUAUGUAUUUACCUCUUUGGCCCUGAAACACACGACUCAACAUCAAGUUUAAGUGCAAUUCAGAUGUAUAUACUCUUUUAGUACCCUACACAACACAACAACAGUUGAACCUUUUGUCAGAAAUCAUAAUUUAAGAAUCAAAAGUUUUGGAAGAAUCACAAGAGUUUGAAAUACAGCAUGGGUGGAAUAGGAAACACGCACAACCUUAUAAAAAAAAUAAAAGUUGUGUUAUGCGACGACAAAGAUAUAAUAUUAUAUAUAGCUGAGAUUGGGAACAAAUAAAGACAAGUAUAAUGAUCUUAACUUGCAAAGUGAAGACGUGUAUAUCACUUUUUUUUUUCUUGGAUGCUCUAAGGCAAGUAUCACUGACAUUAUAAAAUAAGAAACAUAUUUACACAAGGCUCAUCUUCAAGAUAUACUAUGAGUAACGACCCAUUAGUUAAUACAAAUUUAUUACUUCUAGCAUUUUUUUUUGUUUUAAGUAUUUAAAUACACAAUAGAAAGAUAUUAGAGGAUGUAUAUUCACGUGCAAUAACCAAUUAGAGUUAGUUAUAUUCCAGUCAGCAAGUUAGUUAGAGUAAGACCAGAUUUGGUAGUUUUUGUUAGACCGUUCAACUAAUUAAGACCAACUAUACAAAGCUGAUAACCAAGACUUAGUUUAAGCUUUUCAUUCCUCUGUUCAUUACUUGUAACACAAUAAUAGAUUGUGAACCUUUUCUCCAUACUCAUGGAUUCCGUUAUGGUGAGAAGCUCUCAAACUCACUCAAUAGAGUUUGAUGAUACAACUUGUGAGAUACCCACUGUUCUAUCAUGAUACUUUAUUACUUUUAAAGCUAAACUCUUUUUUUUAUGCUAUGGAGAGUUAGUAGCAUGAUAACGGCUAAUAAAAACAAUAAAAUGGAAUUAUACAAGCUGAUGCUAGAGAACAGAACAUGUUUAUCUGAAUAACAGUAACAAUAACAACGAGAAAUACAAAGUACAAUAACAAUUAAAAUACAGAAAGAUGUUUAUUGCAAACAUUAUUCAACUAUAUAUCUCUGCAACACUUGCACUAAUUGGAGGAACCUUGAACUACUUGGAUGACAGAACAUAUUGUUUGAAUAAUAGUGAGAAGAAGCAAUGCAAUUCCAGCAAUGGAAGCUACCAUCUUCCAUGGAGUGUUGAAGUAGUCGCGCCUCAAAGUUGCCAUUAAACGGUUCCAUGGAUGUCCACGGAAAGCAUUCAACUGUUGACAAGUGCGAAGAUAAUUUUCAUUAAAAGUUGACUGUGCAACGUUCUUCCAAAGACCAUUGAACAAUUCAGCCACAGCAUUACUAUCUCCUAACCAAUUGACGAUUAUCCCACUUUUGACCAAGAGAUCUACAUCUUUUUCAGUGUUAAUAAGUAAAUCAAGGACUGCAAUGUAGUCAGUGAUGUAGGACUGAUCAGGAUAGUGGCAUUGUUCGAAAGCUACGACGUUCCUCAACCAGAUUUCAGUCGUAUCAUCCACUUUAAUCUCUGGAAUUCUAAGAGUAUGACCUUCAAAUCUUAAGUCUAAUAAGUCUUUACUUGUUUUACUUACUUUAAAGCACACUCCUGCUUCAUGUAACUCAGUUGCACUAUAAAGGCGAGGUAAAGAGUUUUCUUUCCUUAUAGGUAGACUAGUACAUGAAUUCAAUUUUAAGGUUCUUGAUAGAUCUGUGAAAUGAGCUAUGCUGUCAUUAGAGGGAAAGUUUGGACUAUGGCCAAAAUACUUAAGAGUGAGGGAUAAAAAUGGAGGAUGAUCAUGAUCACCAUUAUUCAGUUUAGAAAAAAAGGCUAAAUUGUAUAUUUUUUCCAAUAUAAAGAAAGGAAGUUGAUUCUCAAGUAACAACAAAUCCCAUCUUAUAUCACUCCUCAACCAUGGUGAUAAACAGAUAGCAUCAUCAUCUGUCCAACAAUUGAAAUGAUACCUGAGUAAAAGCUCAAUUAUGAAACCACAGUCUACCACUAUCACCAUGACAUGAUCCUCCUCAUUAAGGUUAAUGUUAUCUGAGUAAGAUCUUCGAACUUUUGGUUCCAACUGCUGCACACAUCUCACCAACCUGUCCAAGUUUUUCUCGGAUCUUUCAAUGAAUUUUUCACAGUAUAUUCUUUUCUGGCCUUCCAUCUUUAGCAAAUUUUCAUCUCCAUGGUGGAAAGCACCAAUUGAAACAACCUUUGGAGUGUAUGCUUCUUCAUUUAACUUGCGGAUUUGACGGGGCACUCUGUAGAUGCAGCAUUCACGUGUGAAAAGGGGUUUUGCUUCUUUCAACAUUUCUUCAAUCUUCCUUGUAACAUGAUUACAAUUCUGAUCUGCCAUCUAUGAAUCAAAAUCAGAACACCAGGGAAGAAAUGUCAACUAUAAAUUAUAAUCAUUAGUUUAUCACAUAGAAUAAAAUGUAGAUCCAAAUCAUCCAACCUUAAGACAUGAAAAUUGGCCUAUUAAAAAGAAAAAGACUAGAGUAAAAACAUCACAAAGAGAGAAAAAGACUAUAUAAGAUGAAGAGCAACAAAGCCAUUACCUCACAAAAAGAGAGUUCAGCAAGGUCUUGCUAUAGUCAGAGAGAUCUCAAAAGUUGACACUGUGAAAGCACUUUCUGAAAGAGCAACUCUAGAAUGAAUGGAUCGGACAUCGGAGUCGAGCUAGUCAACGUGCAUUUGGUCAACAGUACUGGUCGCCUGAUAUAUACAGUUGCAACUUUCAUAUAGUCUACGCUCAGUCAAUUAAUUUUUUUUAGCGACGGAAAUAAAUUAAACACCAAAUAUAAAACAAAACAAAUGAGCUGUUUAAAUAGAGAAAUAGUCCUGUUUAAGAUUAUUUUUUUUUAUCUUUAACUUAAAGUAUUAAAUGAUAUAAAUUAAAUUAUCUAAAAUCAGAUCUUAUAAAAUUCUUAUUAUUUCAUAACUUAUUUUUUAAAGUUAAAUUUAAAAUUUAAAAAAUUCAAAUCUAUGAAAUAAAUAAUGAGAGAUUAUACUUUUAUUCUAAAAUAAAAUUUAAAAUAGUCACCCAAAAAAAUAAAAAAAAUUCAAAAUUUAGAAGAUGAAAACCAUAACUCACUGUGCCUCUUCAACUUGCUCAGUAUUAAGUAAAUGAAGAUUCCUCCGUUGAUCUCUUUCACCAAUUUCUUUAAUUUGUUUAUUUGUUUGGUUUUUUUUUUUUGUAUUUUUUUGUGAAAUUAACUAAAUAACUUUGAGAUCUGAACACAAUUUUCUUCAAUGGUAUAAUUCCUAAUAUACUUUGCAAAAUUACAAUGGCGAGCAAAGUUAAAACUUAAGAAGCGAGUUUGUUAAGGCGGUUAUUAGCAAAUAAAGUCAACUUUGAUCAACUUUUAAUCUUUCUUUUUUCUUUUUUUUUUGGAGUUGGUCAACUUCUAUUCUGUAUGCUUGGCCCAAAUUGCCUUCCCCUCAGAAGUAUUGCAUAACAUGCACUUCAUUCCAUAUCAGCUUAAAAAUUGUAUGUAAUGUAUAAUAUAAUUAAUAAGUCAUGAACUAUAUUAAGUGUACCUUUUAAAUCGGUCACCAAAAUUAACUACUAAUAUAAAAUACAUGUUAAAAUAUAACUACACAUUGAAAAUAAAUUGAACAAUAUAUAUAUUUAUACAUAAAUAUAUUGGUGGUUAAUUUUAGUAGCUACUUUUAGUGUACAAAUAAUAUUUUUGUAAUUCAUUUCAUUUGAUAUUCAUAAUUUUUUUAUUUUGACAACUUUUAUUUUCAAUAUUUUCUUUAUGAAAUUCUAAAUAAAGGAAAUGUAGAAAAAAAAUACACAGGCAACCAAAAAAUUCUUAAAAUUUACAAAUCUCAUCCGUAAUUAAGAGAAACAGAAUAAUAGAAAUCUUAAUUUUCCACUAAUUUUAUAUACAGCAUGUCAGCACAUAAUGCUUGCAUCAUGGAAAAUGGUUAUACUGGUUCCAAGUAGCGGAAUUUGAAGAGAAUUUUUGGAAGGAUCAAUGAUUUUAACCCAAUUAUAUUGGUUCACAUAAUGACAUUUAUAUUUAAAUUUUAACAUAAUUUUUAGCAUAACUUCAAAAGUUGCAAGUUGUGAUCAAAUCUAUACAAAUGCAAUAAUACUAAAUAGAAUAAAAUAAACAAAUCUUAAUUCCAAUCCUACUAAUUGCAACGUGACAAUUGUAAAAGAAAAAGUAUACAGAGGCAAUGGUCUAAACGUACAAUGUGUACAAUGAAGUCUAAUCGUACAAUGUGUACAAUAGAGGUUUAGGAAGUAUUAGAGAUAUGACCAUUAGUGUUACAUUAUCUUAUCAGGUUACGCUUUUGGGAUGAGUGAUUUCAUGACAUGGUAUUAGAGUUCUAGAUCCGAAAAGUUUAUUAUCUGGUAUCCGGGUAGUAUAGGUGGUGUUCAUUUUAUUCAUGGACUAAAGAUUUAGCCCAUUGUACACAUUGUAUACUUAAGCCAUUGACUCCCUAGCAGUACUCAUUAUAAAAUCAUGUUGUUUUUAAUUAUUCUACAAGCGAGACCCUUGCUUUUCUUUUUCUUUAAAGGUGUUUUUUUUUUUUGGGUGACUUUAAAGGUGAUGUUUACUUCUUUGAAAGUGAUAUUUGCAAAUCUUUUUCUUUUACUACAAGUAAUACCACGUAAAAUUGAAGGGUUUUUUUUUUCUUUUGUCUAAGAGAUUUAAAGGUUUUAACCAACUAGUAAAUUAGCCAAAGCCAAAAACACAAAGGUUAUUAGUCCAAUUUGGACUGAGAAAAAGUAAUAAGUGAAUGGAAAAUGUAGAAGUUGAACACUUGAACCUGAUAAUUGAUUUAGUUAUGUGAAAUCUUAACUCAUUGAAUUAAUCAUACUAUAUAUUGUAACACUACUAAUUUUUUUUUUAUAAAAAUUAAGUAUGAUUCAAAAUAAAGUGUGAAAAGAAAAACUGAAAACUAAAGCAGUCCAAUGCCCAGACCAGUGAUUUUGGCCUUUUGCUUCCAUCUUGGAAGUUAAAAUGUCUUAUGCUUUGGAAUCACCAUAACAUAACACUUGAAACAACCCCAAACCUCUAUAGAAAUUAAGGAGAAAAAUAACAGUAAAGUAUUUAAGGCAUUAUUUUUUACUUUCAAGCAAAAUCACGUGUUUGCCAAAUAGAGCCAUGGACUUCAUGGUGUAUAAUGGAAAUGAACGUUCUAUUUGGCAGAGUACCAGUUUUGAGCACACUUGCCAUCAACAUUUGGCCAUGCACUCUACAACUACGGCCUUUGGUACCUCAGCUAACUCGUUUGGCCCUUCCAAUAUCACAUUUGAUUAUUAAAAUAUGAGUUUAGAAUAUAUGAUUGGUAAUAAAUUAUAACUUUAAAAUAAAAACUAACUAAUGACUUCCAUAAAAACACAUGAGCAGGAAAUACAAAAGUUCAAAAUUAAAAAAAAAAUUAAUAUAUCCAAUAAAUAAGAGAUUGUAAAAAAAUUAUGAACAAUUUAGUUUUUGUUUUCAUGUUCAAUAUUUUUGUUUUUUGUCUUUGUUAUAUUAUAAAGAAAAUAGAAAAAUUUUAAAAUAAAUACAAAAAUUAAAUAAUUUUCUAAAUACAAAAUUUUCUUUACUAACAAAUGUCAUGAUACAUGAAUUAGGAUAAAAAAAAAUUACAAAGAUAACAUUGCAUUCAAUCAACGAAAGCGUACCAAUUAACAGAAGACUUCAACAAAGUUUUAUCAUAUAAAUCCAAAGAGGCCAUUGCGUUAGUGACCAUACGUUUGGAUGCAACAAAGUUUUACCAUACGAGGAACCAAAGUAUUCAAAAUGAAAACUUAAGGUAACAUAAUGUCUUUCGAAUAAACCAAAACCAAAUAAACUCACCAAGUGGAAAUGACGUGUGAAACAAGUCAAGGCUUAACCAUUUACUCCAUAACAAUAGCAAUUGCAGAUUCAAUCAUCUCAGAUUCUCUGCGGACAACUUCAGCCCUAACAUCUGCAGCUUUGUUCUCGGUCACCUUGAGUCGUUCGCGUAGCUCAGAAGCUCCGUCCUCAACAACCCCAAGCCGGGCACGCAGCUUAGCAGCUUCGUCCUCUGCAGCUCCAAGCAGUGCACGCAGCUUAGCAGCUUCGUCUUUCAAAUCCUUCUCUUUCUCCCGAAGUACUUCAAUCCUGGUGAUCUUAGUGGUAGAGAACACCUCUUUCACAUAAGGACUUAACCAUUCCAAAUCAAAUUUGAACUCGUUUAACUGCUUCCAGAGAAUACGUAACUCAUCUUCCAGAUACACCCAAUCCCUCUUCUCAACAUUUUUCAACAGAAACAGCACCCGCCCUAAGCUAUCAAAGGCGCUUUGUGUUACUAUUUCAGAGUGGUUUUUCUGGCUAUGAAUCAGCUGGGGGUGGUUCUCACACGCUUUCUUGAGCAGAGGCAGGAAUGAUUUGUCCACCUGACACAGCCUUUUAAAAUUCACCAUUUUCCCUGAUAGCUUAGGAACUGUAGCAACCUUUGGAUAGGAAUAGGACGACACAUCUUGGAAUUCAAGACCCUCUUCAGCAAAUGUUGCAUUGGUCGUUGAUGAAGAUGCCAGCUCAUUUGCACUGCCAUACAACAAGUGAAGAAGUCGAUGUAAUGCUACACGCCACUGGAAAUCUUCCUGAUUAUAUUGUGCAAACAUGUAAUCACAAACAUUAACCAUCUUGCUGGCAGGGAUAUCCUCAUAAACCAUCUUUCUAGCAAUGUCACGCACCAGACUACUCAUUAUGAUAUGGUCUUUGCUUUUAUCAGAAAGCAUCAGCAAACUAGACUCAAUGAGGUCAUUGAUGGCUGCUCUCACUUCAUCUUUCCUCCAGCCUAGUCGGAUUGCAUAUUGUGACAGCUCUUCAAUGAGAACUUCAUGUUCAUGAUCACGACCACUUGGAAACAAACCACAUAUUAAGAAUAUGGUUUUAGUUACUCUGGUGCUCAGUUCAUGAUAGCCUACUUCUAUAAUCUGGUGAAUAAAUUUAGAUGUGUCAGCUUCACAUUGCAAACUCUUCACUGGUAGCAUCUGCAUUGUUUUUAAUACUUCCUUCCACUGGUCAACAGUUUUUCCUCUUAAAGUGGAUCCAAUCACUGAACUUGCAAGGGGUAAACCAUGACAAUGUUUCGCAACUUGUUUUGCUACUUCAACAAUUGAUUCAGGGGAGCCGUCACUAAUGUCUGCAUGCUUCCUCAAAAGAUCGCAAGCUUCUCCUUCAGUUAAUAAAGACAGGUUAAUGCUUGGUUGGCAUCCCAUCCUAUAUACUGCUUCUUGAGUACUUGUAGUCAUGAGGACUUUACAGCUCAUACGCCUACCCAUGGUUCUAAGCUGCAAUCCAUUACAACCAUUAAAAAUCCCUAUCUUUUCCAGGUUGAGCCUGUCCAACACAUCAUCCAAAAUUAUAAGAACCAGUUCUUUACUUGUCAUUGAUUUUUUUCUCUGUCUUGCAGCUAGACCAGCUUCUUCUCCCAAUCUGAGACUCAAUUGGUCAGCUAUCUCACCUUGUAUCUUCAUGAAACUUGGAGUAGAUGUCACAGGAACGAAUACAACAAGGUUGAAGAUGUUCAACAGCUUGGCCUUUUCACCCACUUGUUUUGCUAAGGUUGUCUUUCCUGAUCCACCCAUGCCAGACAAUGCAACCUGAGAGAUCUUACAAUCUUUUAGUGCUUCCAAAAUUUGAUCGAAAGUGCUUUCUCUGGACUGGAACUGCAUCAAAUAUCCAGAAUCAUAAUCAUCUGUGACAGAAAUACCCUCUUCCAUCUUGAUAAUUCGCUCUCCUUCAUGAACCAUGUUGUAGCUCAGAAAACAGACGGGUAAGUAUUAUCUUUUGUACUCCGGAAUAGUCUUCCUUCCUGCUGGAACAGUUCAAUGUUUACAUUACAUGCAGAAGCUAAAUAACACUAAACAUAGAAGCUAACUGAAAAAUCACAUUAGUAAUAAUCAGAGCUUUCUUCCUAGGCAAACAUAUAGAAAGUGAAUUAGCACAGUAUCUCAUACAGUCAUACCUAGAAUUCGUAAACAUAGAAAAAAUCCAUAAAUGGAGUCAAAUUAUGAAACCAUAGCUCACCUUACUUUUUCUCAAAUUCCAGGGUAAUUAGUAGUGUAUGAGAUUCCCGCUUGUGAUGUCUUCCCGCUUGCUAAUCACAAAAGAUUUGAUUUUCUACUCUAUUGAAAUCAACUAGAAGAAGAAGAUGAAGAUGAAAUUCAGUAAUUCGGAUCGACCCGGAACACAGAAGAUAACGCUGUUUUGAGAUAGGACAGGGCGUUAAGAGCAACUCCAAUGGUAGUAAAGAGAGGCUCUAUUCUGACACAUGGGAAAAAAAAAGACUCAGUGUACGAAAAAGUGAGGAAAGUUCCUUAGGGNNNNNNNNNNNNNNNNNNNNNNNAUUAUAUAUGAAAUUAUUAAUUAUUUUUUUGAAUCUUAAUAUUUUUAAUAGUGAAUUAUUUUUGAAUUUAUAAAUUUUAAUAAUAUUAUUGUAAACAAAAUAACAACUACAUUAAUUUUAGAGUAAUACCCCAAAUAGGUCCCCAAGAAAUUUACUAUCGGACAGUUUUGUCCCCCACAAAAUUUAACUAAGAUUUCGACCCUGAGGUUCUCAGAUAUCCCCCAAAUACGUUCCCAAAACUGUUUGAUCCGGUUAAAGUGAUGACGUGUCAGGUUAACUGUGACAUGUCACCUUUAGGACAUUUUGGUCCCCAUCCACGCUGGACAAAAUGACGUCGUAUUGGAACCAGGGGCAAAACGACGUCGUUUCGGGGAGGACAAAUUCGUCCCCACUUAGACAGAAAAUGCAAACGGCGCCGUUUUCAUGUGGGGGACCUAUUUGUCUCAUAAUAGUAUCUUAGGGGACCUAUUUGACCUAUAAUUCGUGAUGUUAAAAGAAGCUAUAUUUACUUCAACGCAAACCUUAAAAACACAUUGACAUUGGUCUGUUCAUUUAUCAAAAUGGUAACAUAAACUUGAGAACCCAAACAUGUUAACGACACAAAUAUUUGGCUUCAAUAGCAACACAAACCAAAUCAAGUCAAAAGAAGGUUUAUUUUCUUCAACAUAAACUAAACGAAACCAUUAUAAACAACAUAAUGUCUUCUUCCUCCAACAUAACAAAAGGUGGUAACAUAACUAAGACAACAACUUUCACAUUAAUUUUUAGAAGCAUCAUUUCUUGAAAGACUGGUUCAACCCUCGUGUUGGAAUGAAUUUGAACAACUUAGAUAUUGUGCCACUGGUUGCAGCUGAUAUUGUCUCAGCACUAACACUCCCCGAAUUCACGGCCCUAAUUACUGUCUCUUUUGGACGUCUAAAAGAAAGCUGAGCUUGGAAUAAACAGUAUUGUUAUCACCAUGUUUCAGCAAUACUGAAAUUUUGUGUGAAACAUGGUGAUAACAAUACUUUUUAUUCUAAUCUCAGCUUUCUUUUAGACGUCCAAAGGAGACAGUAAUUAGGGCCGUGAAUUCGGGGAGUGUUAGUGUUGAGACAAUAUCAGCUGUAACCAGUGGCACAGUAUCUAAGUUGUUCAAAUUCAUUCCAACACGAGGGUUGAACCAGUCUUUCAAGAAAUAAUGCUUCUAAGAAUUAGUGUGAAAGUUGUUGUCUUAGUUAUGUUACCACCUUUUGUUAUGUUGGAGGAAGAAGACAUUAUGUUGUUUAUAAUGGUUUCGUUUAGUUUAUGUUGAAGAAAAUAAACCUUCUUUUGACUUGAUUUGGUUUGUGUUGCUAUUGAAGUAAAAUAUUUGUGUGGUUAACAUGUUUGGGUUCUCAAGUUUAUGUUACCAUUUUGAUAAAUGAACAGACCAAUGUCAAUGUGUUUUUAAGGUUUGCGUUGAAGUAAAUAUAGCUUCUUUUAACAUCACAAAUUAUAGGUCAAAUAGGUCCCCUAAGAUACUAUUAUGAGACAAAUAGGUCCCCCACAUGAAAACGGCGCCGUUUGCAUUCUCUGUCUAAGUGGGGACGAAUUUGUCCUCCCCGAAACGACGUCGUUUUGCCCCUGGUUCCAAUACGACGUCGUUUUGUCCAGCGUGGAUGGGGACCAAAAUGUCCUAAAGGUGACAUGUCACAGUUAACCUGACACGUCAUCACUUUAACCGGAUCAAACGGUUUUGGGGACGUAUCUGGGGGAUAUCUGAGAACCUCAGGGUCGAAAUCUUAGUUAAAUUUUGUGGGGGACAAAACUGUCGGAUAAUAAAUUUCUUGGGGACCUAUUUGGGGUAUUACUCUUAAUUUUAAUUGCUUUAAUUAAUUAAUUAAGUGUGACCACAAUAAGGACUAAAGUUAGUUUCUCCUAAUAGAAAAGAGAGAGAUGCUUUGAAUUCCUAUUUAUUGUUUGAGAAAAGCUCUGCAUACAAGUCAUUAGGGCUUGUAUGCUUUACAAGUUAAUUGUUUGACGUCGGCCAGUCUUUUUAAGUUAUUAUAUUAGCUAUCCAUAAGACCUCGUCAGGUUCUUUUUUUGGAUUGCUUUCGAUAACUUCUUACAUUAUUCUGUGUUCAUCUUUGCCGAUUUGUAGAAAAUGGUUGGCAUCUCGAAUUCGUCCUUUGGGUGAAUCGCGUUUUCACCUUUAUCGGACGAUUUAUCUUUAUCGUGGUCGUGCAGCGAAAUUGUUUUUCACUUUUUGUCGACCUGUAGCUUUAUAAUCGGACGAUGAAUACUUCAGACUAAUGCGUCUUGAAAUCUUUGUAGAAUACCUAAAUAAAUUUUAUUCCAAGAAAAAAUGCAAAUAUGUACAUGUGGGGAUUUCUUAUCCUCUUUAAAUUGGGUAUGGUCUAGGUCUCGACCUGGUGCCUCAUUAAAAAACCUUUUCAGGAAAAAGAGUGCAUCCGCUGGUGAGUUCUUCCCUCUGAAGAGGUCGGUCGCUUUAUCUCCAAUCGUCCCAGGUCGGAUAGCUCGACUCAGAGUAUGAACAAAUACUAAAAUAAAAUAAUAUUAUUUAGUCUUAUAUUCAGUAUAAUAAGUUAGAAUCAAUUCAACCUUUAAUUUACUGAUUUUAUACUAAAAUUAAGAAAUUAAUAUAGUGUCCAAAAAUAAAUUUUAAGUAAAAUGAUAAAAACGGUAAAUAUGAAAUAUCACUUUGAGAAUUUAGUUGGCACUCACCAUUCAAUUGGAGCUCGGGUCGGGUUGACCCACGAGAGUCCUGGGCCGGGCCGUAACAGUGCCCCCGACGCGCCAGUGAGGGUCGUGAGGGCGAUCGGUGGCGCGUGAUGUCCUUGUUUGUGCGUUGUCGUUGAGUCGGCUGACCGUAAGAGAGGCGCGUCUUUCGUGCGCGUGCCCCUUGGUCUGCUGAGGCGUUCGUUCGUCGCUUCGUUUUUCGUGCUGAGCAUUAAAUGCUCAUAAUGGUUUGAAAAAACCCCGCGCGUAAAGACCGUUUUGCCCCUGCUUUCUUUCGCGCUUCUCGUGGGGGUUUUUAAACAGUUUUCUUUCUCUUUUCCUUCUACCCUCGCCAUUUUCACUUUCCUCUCUCCCUGAUAUCCAAAAUUUCCUGUUCGAGCCCUCUCGUGCCUUCUUUUUCCUCCCAAGUUUCUGCAAUCGAUUCAGGUAAUUUUUGCUCCCUCUUCUCUUGUGUUUAUGCCAUUUUUACCGCUGCGCAGUUGUUGUUUGUGAUGGUUGUAUGCUUGGUUUACUUUUAGCCGAAUGGCCUUCCACUGGUGGGGUAGAUGAAUUAAGGGAGGGGUACCAUUCCUGGGUAGGUUUUAGGUGAUUUGCACGAUAGGCGUAGUUUUUAACUUUUCUUGGCCAUGAUCUGAGUUUGAAAAGGCGUAGUUUCUGGGUUUCUAUGGACUCCCGACCUCAUAGUCUAACGGAGUGGUACCCCGAUGUAGGUAUGCCUCGCAUCGUUUCCCGGUCUUCAGGAACUGGCGUGGCCUACGACCCGUACGCCUGGGUGACCGAUGAUAUAAGGAGCUCACCCAACCAAAUGGACUUGGAGGAGUUGACCGAGUUCCGGUAAGCCGGCUACUUGUGUGGGGGGACUGACGAGGAGGCCAACUACGAGGCCAUUGUCCCUGCCCCCCAUGAGCGUAUUUAUGAGCUCAACUUUCACUCCCCUCGUGUCCCCGAUUGGAUCUGGUUUUACAAGUCCAUGUUCACACACAAAUGGCGCUUCUGAACCGGAUAUCCGUCCCCCCGUCUCAGCUUCAUCCGAACAGCUGGGCUUCGAUCCGCUGCUUCGAAAUGGUUUGCGAGCACCUGGAGCUGCCGGUGUCGGUGGACGUUUUCCUCUUCUAUUUCAACCUUACCAACCCUUCCAAACAGGGGAAGGCGAGAAAAGGGUGGCAGAAUCUGAGUUUUAGAGGAGAUGUUGCCGAAAUUUUAUAAAACCAGAAGCUUCAUUUGAAAAAGUUGUUUUAAAAGGUUUAAUUUUAAGUAUUAUAUGAUUUGAGAUUACUUCAUUUAUCAAAGAAAAAGUUAUGUUUUGGAUUGAGAAUUGUUAGUAAAACAGAAUGAAAAGAAGGAUGAUGAGGAUUUCUUUGAAAUAUGGGUUUUGAAUGAAUUUAGAAAUGAGAAUUGGAUUGAUGAACGAUUAUGAUGUUGAAAAUGUUGAGAAUGUUGAGAAUGUUGAGAUAUGAACUUUGAAAUUAUUCACAUGGCUUAUAAAUUUGAAUUAUCUGAGAUACGAGGUUCCCUGGAUAAAGUACCAUGGCUUGCCACCACGUGUACCAGGUUGAAAACUCGAUACUCUGUUGACCCUACGAUGUAAGUGUGACCGGACACUAUAUAAAUUCCCGGGAAUGUUACCCCCAUUGAGCAAUAUUGAUUAUUUGAGAAAAAGCUAUGCAUAGACUCUUUGGGAUGCACGUCGGGGGACAGUCUAAGUACAAUUCAGACUUGUCGGGUUGGCUGGAUAACCGACAGAUGAGCCUCAUCAGCCAUAGAACAGGCAUGCAUCAUAUGCAUUUGUAUGCUUUGCUUGGGUUUGAACUUGUUUUGGUUUGCCUAAUUGCUAAAUUGUUCCUAACUGCUACUUGAACUAUUUGCUGUAACUGCUUUCUACUUGUGUUUUACUUGUUUGUCUUGCUUGUGUUUGUCCUGGCGUGUUACAUUUAAGAAUGGACUUUGGUGCUGAAUUAAUGAUUGUGUGGUUUGAUUGCGUGGUUGGAUUCUGACUGAGAUUUGCUUAUGAGAAAAGAAAGACCUUGGAUUUCUAAAAAUAUUGAACGUUGUUUCUUUGAAAAGGUUUUGAACGAUUAGCUAUUGGAUUUUUAAAAGGAUUCAUAAGGCAAUGAUAAUCACUGAAUUUGAAAGCAGUUUUCUUAUUGAAAUAUCUUCUUAUGACAACUUUGAAACUCCGUGGUGAGAACGUGUGGUUAGGUUCUCACCCCCUACAGCUUUAUCUUUUCAGGAACCGGAUGAAGAAGCAUUAGGAAGAGUUAUACUGCGUUUGGUUUAUAAGUUAUUGUAUUAAUUAGAUUAUUUUCUUCCCUCGUCUUUUUUAUUACAAGUUUGUAAGAGGGAUAGGAAUUGUAUGUUUUAUAUGUAUAUCAUAUUAUGAGUUAUUAUGUAAGGAGUCUUGUAUAUGAAUCUAUGCCUGUUUGUAUUUUUCUUAAGAUAAAGUGUUUAUUUCCGGUUUUCAAAGAAAUAAGUGAUACAGUGUCGAGUCACAGGCUCCUAUUUUAAUAUUUAGUAUGUAAUAUAGUCGUAAUAUUUCUUGCUAUCAGAGUAGCGCAGCUGAAAACAUGACUUCUGAUAGUAAGGAUGUUACAUAAAUUCUUAUUAUAUAGGUGAGAUAAAAAAAAUAUAUGAGAAAGAAACUAUUUAAAAAUGAGAGAUUAUAUUUUAUUCUCUAAAAUAAAAAUUUAAAAUUUAAAAUAUCCAAAUUCAUGGUUUCACAUAACAAGCUAACAUUUAUGUCUUCAAUUGAUUAAUUGACUUCCAAAUUAGCAUACAAAAUAUAGCCAAAUAUCACAUCAAACAAACAUAUCUAUAAAACCUUGAUUAUAAUAAAUAUAUUCAUUAUAUAUAUACCAACAUUCAUUAUUAUUAAAUAAUUAAAAAAUAUUUUUAAUAUCUAAACCUAUGUNNNNNNNNNNNNNNNNNNNNNNNNNNNNNNNNNNNNNNNNNNNNNNNNNNNNNNNNNNNNNNNNNNNNNNNNNNNNNNNNNNNNNNNNNNNNNNNNNNNNNNNNNNNNNNNNNNNNNNNNNNNNNNNNNNNNNNNNCAACAUUAAAUUAAUUAAUUACUAAGAUUAAUUACCAAAACUCUAACACUAAUUUUAUUACUAAGAUCACUUAAUUUUUUCAAAGUAAUUAAUUAAUUAACUAAUUUACACUAACGUAUAAAUUCUUUUAAACUUCCACUAAAGUUAGGAUAAUCAAUUGUAACAUUAAUUUUAAAAUGUAACUCACCGUUACACUAUUGUUUUCAAUGUUAACGUUAAUUUUUUUUAAAUAAGUAGUAUGAUUUUGGUCCCUAACGUAGAUGUUGAAAAUCAAUUUUGUCUCUAGCCUUUUUUUUGCUCCAAAAUGGUCCCCAAGAUUUCAAUUUGUUUUAAAAUCGUCAUUCGGACGAAAAUACCCUUCCCCCUUCGCCCCAAAAUCAACCAAAAUCAACCACCAUCACCACCACUACCACCAAAACAGAAGUCUACGCCCAACCAGAACCCACCACCACCACCACCACCACCAAUAUCAUCAUGGUCAUCAUCAUCAUCAGAACUUUUCCCAAAAUCAACCAAAAUCAAUCAGAAGUCCAAGCUGAACAAGAACCCAUCACCACCACCACCAUUAUCAUCAUGGUCAUCAUCAUCAUCAGAAGAAGAAGAAGAACAACAAAACUCAAAACAGAACCCACCACCAUUCCCACCUCAGAAAAUCAGAAAUCAAAAAUUCAGAACAAUCAAAACUCAGAACCAUCAACAAAAUUCAAAACUAAAAUUCUUCCUCUUUUAUUCUUGUUCUGCUUCUUCAUCUUCUUUUAAAGAAAUUCAAGCAACAUGCACUUUAAAAAAUAAUCAACAAAUUCAGCAACAACAAUAUUCCAAAUUCAAGUCAAAUCACAAAAAAUUAAAUUAUAGAUAUUCCACAACGGUGAGGGCGAGGAGGAGGAGCAGUGGUGGAUCACAGGCGGCAGAGCGGCGGUGCGGCGGUAUGACGGUGCGGCAGUUCCCCCCACCCCCAACCCCUCCUUUCUCACGCUCCACUCCCCUUCUUUUUCUCCCCCGAUUCUCUAUAUCCCUUUCUUUCUUUCCUUUCUUUUUUAUUUAUUUUAUAUUUAUUUUUUUUAUAAUUUUUUAAUGAGGAAUAGUUCGGUAAUAAAAAAAUAAAAUUGGUAAAAAGGACAAUUUUAAAACAAACUGAAAUAUUAGGGACCAUUUUAUAGCGAAAAAAAGGCUGGGGACGAAAUCGAUUUUUCGCCUCUACGUUAGGGACCAAAAUCAUACUUAUCCCUUUUAAUAAGUAUAAAUUUAAUUAAAAACUAAUUUCUUCUCUUCUCCUUUCAUACUCAGCACUCAUUCUUAUAUUUACUAUAUAAAUCAACAUUCAAUUCACAAAAUUUUUUUAUCUCCUUUCACAUAAUCUCAUACUUCUUUCUCUUUCUCCCUCUCCCUCUCAAUUAUUGCUAAUUUUUUGCACAACUAGAAUUUGGUUGAUAACUAUAGUUUUUAUUUAUUUUAUUUUUUUAAUUUAGUAAACGUAUGUAUAAGGUAAUUGUGUGACUGUAUUCAUUAGUUUUUUUUAUUUCUUUGUGUAAUUAUAUUCAUAAGUUAUAUAAUGUGUUUGUCGUCUAUAUAUCACUUCUUUUUUCUUUUAACAAUUUAUAUUUUUUUAAUAUCAUUUAGUUGUAACAAUAUUAUUAAAAAUACAUAUUAUCAUGAUUUAUGAAAAAUAAAAUUAAAAAAUUAAAUAUCAUUGUUUAUUAUCAAAACUUUAAUAAUAUUCAUAUUUGUAUUUUAUCUAAUAGUUUUAUCAAAAUACCNNNNNNNNNNNNNNNNNNNNNNNNNNNNNNNNAAUAUUAUUAUUAAAUUAUAUAUAAAUUUUUAAAUUAAAUGAAUAUAUUUUAAAGGAAAAGUAUUGGAUACCAAGAAUCAAUUUGUUAACUUUUGAUAACUCAAAUUUUUUUUUCAAAGAUAGGAGAUUUAAAAUCACAACCUCUUAAUUGAAUAUAGGGAGAUUAUGCCAUUUGAGCUAUAACUCAUUGGCUUUGAUAACUCAAUUAAUAAUUAAUAAUUUUAAAUUAUUUUAAUAAAUUUAAAUUUCAAAAAAUAACAUUAAAAAAAUUUAUGAAUAAUAAGGAUUGUGUUGAGUAACCGCCCACAAUGUCACUGUGAUCAGCGUCUGUUUUCCUCUUAUCAUCGCAACAUCUCCUUUCUCACCAACAGCACCGCUUCGCUGCCGCUGCAGCGUGCUUCCGUCACAGCUGCACAACCACCACAAAGAUUGUGUUGAGUAACCACCCGCAAGGUCAUUGUGAUAUCCAUCCCCUCUUAAGGUGUUGUUAUCAUUGUGGUACUUGUGUCGUCGUCAUAUCACCUAAUAGACCUCCAUUAACAAACACUUCUAAUACAAAAAAAAACUUUUAUAACUAUAAAAGACACAGACACACUCGAAAAAAACACCUACAAAAUAGAUGCCUUAAAAAAUAAUUAGCAGAUUCUAUGUUGAUUACCUAAUCAAAUUAUAUUUUAAAAUAUUUUUUACAAAUUAACUCUUAAGUUUAACAUUAAUUUACAUAUUAUCUAAUAUAUCUCUAAGUAGUAUUAGCAUUUUAAAUGUACACUAUAUAAUAUAAUUAAUUUAGUUCUUCAUACAUCACGCGCGAGUCUUAAUCUAUUGAUAAUUAUUCAAUAUUAAUAAAAAUAAUUAUUUUCACAAUUAUUAAAUGUAAAAUAAACAUAUAAAAUAAUUUAUAUUAUCAGUAAUGUAAAACUAAAUAUUAAAAAACAAAGAAAAGGGGAAAGCAUUACCAUGAAAAAGGAGUAUAUUUUGUUAAGAAACCUUGUAUAAUUUCAUGCAUUGCAUGGCGAAGACAGUGUUUGGUGACCUAAAAGCUACAACAGAAAGCAACAUGCCAAUCAUGUCGGCGCCCGCACUCUUGUCCACCGUUAGCGCCGCCACGGCCAUUGUCACAACCUUGUUGUUAAUCUGCAAGUCUCGUCUCAUGCACGAAAAGAACCUCACAACACACCAUCGCCAACAACCCAAACGCAAUCCCGAACAACCCAAACGCGAUCCACACGGCAAGAUGCUAUUCGUUUCCCAAAUCGGAACUUCAAAAGCCCUAGCGACGCGCCUCUGCGAUUUGUUAGAGUCGAAAGGCAUCGUUUUGGAGCUCGUAGAUGCCCGGAAUUAAGAGCCCAAAGCCCUACCCAAGGAGAACCUCGUCGUCCUCGUUGCUUCAACUUCGGAAGUUUGGAACCUACCUCCCGCACGGAAUUUCUUCCCCAGUCACGACCUACCUUGGGGAGCAAGGUUCUUCGUCGAUUGGAUCGAGGAAAAAGCGAACGCCUUUAAGGUUAGAGCGUUUGUUGUGAAUGCUUGCAGUUUCAGUGCCUUUGUGGUGGGCAGAGAGGUUAAUGAAGGUGGCAAGAAUUUGAUGGCUAAGGCCGCCAAUGAGAUUAGGGGUUUGGGGCACACUGCUGAAUCGAAUGCGGAUUUUGACAGCUGGUGGGGAAGUGUUGUUGCGGUUUUGCAAGGUGCUGUUUUGGGAGAUGCUGCUGAUGGCAUAUGCGGGGAAUCUGAACCUGAGGUCCGUUUCUGCAUCCUCUUAUCCUUAUAUAACUAUGGCGUUUCUAUUUAUUAUCAUCACACUGCAGAGCUCUCUAUUUAAUAGUUAAUUGUUUCCCUAAUUCCAGGAUGUUGGUUCUUCUGAUCUAAACCUAUCCAUGACACAUCGUUUAUAUAUGUUGGUGAUAAAUAAGGAUUAUGUAACAAAGCAAACCGACCCUUAUGUGAGGUUCUCUAGUACCACCAGGUACAGGAUGUUAACUAUCACUGACGACAACUUUAUGAAGAAUGGCACUGUUGAACUUGAACAAGUAUGUCAUUUACCUGCCCAAUGGCCUCUUAGAGAUGAUCUAUUGAUCGACAACGAUGUGUUACCAAAUUUUCAAGGAUUUUGUUCCGUUGGUCGCUGCUUUUUCUUUACUGGUGAUGUAUGGGAUGGUCUUAUAACACAUCCGAACGUGGGUUAUUACGAUUGUUACUACUCAAAGCUGUGGUGCCUUAAGUAUGAGGAUCCUACUUGGGUUUGGAGUCUAUGUGGAACCAUGUUCUGCUCCCGAUUAAGUCCCUUAGUAGUCCCAUACGAUGGCAAAUUGUGCAUGUUUUGGGGUGACUAUCAAAUUGCAAAUUGGGUUGAGAUCUAUAGCCUAAAAUCAGGUCUAUGGGAAAAAAAGGGAAGUGCCCUGUAGUGAUCUCUUCUCAGAUCACCCGUUGGCUAGCUCGUACUUUCUGUGGGAGGACAGCAAGAAGACCCUCAUUGUAUUGUAUUCUUUUGAUGAUAAUCAUCAGUUGCUCAUCUCAUAUGACGUCAAAGCUAACAGAUGGGAAGAAGUUGAGUGCAAUUUUCCGCCAGUUCCUAAAUAUUGUCCUAGAAAAUUAGUUCGUUUGGGAUGUAGCCAUUAUCUUCUGAUUGUAGACUUCGCUCCAACGUGGUAUAUUUAUGACUUGUCUGAGAAGCAGGUUGUGGCAAAAGUUCCCGUGGAUGGUUUGGAGGAGGACCGUGUGCGGGUAUCAAAUAUUUUUUGUUGCGACCACAGUAGCAAAGAAAGUUUGAUCUAUAUAUUCACGGAACACGAGGAAGAGGAAGAAUUUCCUCAGUUUGUUCCUUAUGCCAGAGUUAGGCUCCAACUCCAAACCUUUUCUGCCAAGAUUGAAUCCAAGGGUUAUCUUAGACUUGGUCCUUAUUACAUAUACCGUAUGUGAGUAUGCGCUUCUCUUUAAACUUGUUUCACCCUAUCCAUUGAUUGAGCUUUGAUAUUUACUUGUUUAACUCGGUGGACAGAUUUGCUGCUGGAGAUGAAGGCAAUAAAGAGAAGAGUGUAGUUUAGUAUACGGGUGUGGUGUAUAUUAGGAAUUAGAAUUGGAGCAUGAAUGACAAAGUAGCCAAAGAAAGAAGUGAUGGAUAGCAAAGUGAUAUGAAAGCUGUAGCCACCUUGAAUCCAACUUUGUUGCCAAGACAUGAAUGCCAAACAAGUAUACAAAUAUUUUGUAAGCUAUGUAUUUACCUCUUUGGCCCUGAAACACACGACUCAACAUCUUCCAAGUCUAAGUGCAAUUCAGAUGUAUAUACUCUUUUAUCACCUUCCUGGAAAGCAAGCAAUGAUUUUGCUAGAUUUAUUAAUUAGAGUUUAUAUCUUAUUUAAUAUAAAAAUACCAUAAUAAUUAUGUUCAAAUAAAAUUAUUUAUAUAUUUUUAUUAUAUGAAAAAAGUUAAUACUAUAUUAUUGUGAGAUAAAUUUAGAGUAAUGUUACAUGUAUACUAAAAUUAGUCGCUAAAAUCAGCUAUUAGUAUAAAAUAUAUGUUGAAAUACAAAUAUACAUUGAAAAUAAAUUAAAUCACACAUGUAUUUAUUUACAAAUAUAUUGGUGGCUAAUUUUAGUGGAUGAUAUUAGAGUAUAAAUAGCAUUUUUGAUAAAUUUAUGCCAUAUAAUUAUUUUUUUACUACGAAUCAUUAAAUAUUUUAAUUAUGAAGUAAUGGUUAAAUAUAAUUAACAUCUAUAUUAAAAUAAUAACAAUAAUUUUCAGUUAUAAAUAUUCAAAUUGCAUAUUAUUAUGAUCUAUUUAUGUAUAUAAUCAACAAUACUCAUUAUUAUUACAGUAUCACUUCAUCCAUUUCAUAAUUUCUUAUAUGAAUUGUCAAGAAUUUCUUCAACAACUUUUAAUUGUACAAGAUCAAAAUUACAACAUAUAUAAACGAUAUUCUGUUUCUCUUAAUUAGCGAUGAGAUUUGCAAAUUUUUAAGAUAUUUUUGGUUGGCUUUGUUUUUUUUUUUAUCUACAUUUCAUUUAUUUAGAAUUUUAUAAAAAAAUAUUAAAAAUAAAAGUUAAAAAAUUAAAAAUACUUUUUUUUUCCAAAGAUAAUAGGUUAUAUUUCAUUAAUAAUUAAAAAAUGAAAUACAAAGAUGUCCAAAAGCAGAACAACAUAAUAAAAGGUGGGAAUUUUUCAAAAACACUACAUACACUGAAAGUAUUCAUCCAACGGUGCGUGGUCGAAAAACGAAGAAAAAUCUUAAAGAAGAAAUAAUGAUAAAUCAAAUUGAAUGCAACUAAGAGCUUGCCUUAUGGAGAUGACGACCUAAACUGGGAGUUCUUUGGAUUUCAAGAAACAACUUGACAGAGCUUGCUAGAAUGGCAGACGUCAUAGAAGUAGAACCUUCAAAAAUCAACUGGUUGCGAGCUUUCCAGCAGUUCCAGCAAAUGAUGGCAAACAAUUGAGGAUUACGGUCAGCAUUCUUCAACGGGUUAAGUAUCUCUGUUGAUGCAGUCCACCAUGUCCAAAAGUCGUUAGAACUCUGAGGGGGAAGACAGUCACGAAGAUAACUCUGAGACCAUACGUCUUUAAUUCUAGAGCAAUCGAUCAAACAAUGAGUGACUGUUUCCGUUGCUUCAUGACAGCAGGGGCAUAUUGGUGAUAUAGAUGGGAUGCGGUGAUGAAUCUGAGCAAGCACCGGAAGUCGGCCAUGGAGAGCUUUCCAGAUAAAUAGCUUAAUUUUGUGAGGCAAGUUCAACUUCCAUAGAUCAAUCCACGGCUUUUUCUGCUGCAUAUAAUUAGGGCAAAGCUCCAGAGGCGGAUGGUAAAAUAAAUAGCCAAUUCUGUAACCUGAAACUGUAUCAUAUUGCUUGGAUUUGUUCAAAUCCCAUUGCAAUUUGUCCCUACUCUACUGAAUUUUAACUGACAAAAUCCUGUUUGCAACGUCUUGGGGAAAUAAUUCUUGAAUGAGAUUCUGAUUCCAAUUUCUAUCUUCAGUAAUUAGAUCUUUAACUCUUGGAACUAACUCAGAAAUAGCUUGUCUAUUUGGCAUGUCAGAAAUCAUUAAAGGAUACGGAGGAGGCAGCCAAGGAUCCUCAAAGGUUUGGAUAUUCUCACAAGUACCCACAGCCCAAUUAAGACCUUUUUCAACAAUCUUUCGGCCUUCCAGUAUGCUCCUCCAUCCCCAAGAAGGUAAGACUCCAAUUUCUGCCAUUAUAGCAUUACCAUUGCUAAAGUAUUUACCUCUUAAGAUUUUGGAUAAUAAGGAAGUAGGCUGUGUUACAAGUUGCCAAAACUGUUUGCCUAAAAGCGCCAAAUUUUGGAUUCUGAGAUCUUUAAAUCCAAGGCCUCCUUCUUUUCGUGGGCGAGUCAUAGUGUCCCAGCUAAUCCAAGCCAUCCUCCUUUCAGAACCUUUUUGUCCUCACCAGAACUGAGAAAGUAGAGAGUGAAUUUCCGAAAUUAAACCAUCAGGCAACUUGAAGCAAGACAAUGUAUAAAUAGGAAUAGCUUCUCCCACUGCCUUAAGCAAUACGUGUCUACCACCUGACGAAAGAAGAUUGCGCUUCCACCCUUGGAUUCUUUUCUGAACCAUUUCUUUGAUCAUACUAAAAGAAGCCUUUUUCGAUUUAGAGACUGUAGAAGGCAAACCAAGGUAUUUAUCCUGAGCUCCAAUAUGAUUAAUAUUCAUAGAGUUAGCCAGUAGUGUACGAGUAGUGGAUGGAGUGUUGUGGCUAAAGAAUACAGCAGAUUUAUUAAGAUUUACCCUCUGGCCACUGAUGCUUUCAUAAGAAUUCAAUAAAUGCAGGAUAUUUGAACAUGCUUCAGGAUUAGCCUUACAGAAUAAAAUGGAAUCAUCAGCAAACAGGAGGUGGUUGACCUUGGGACAUCACCUAUGUAUCUGAAGAUCCUGAAUUAGUCUAUUUUGUUCUGCCUUGUGUAGAAAGAAGGAGAGACUUUCUGCACAAAAAAGAAAAAGAUAGGGGGAUAGAGGAUCUCCUUGUCAAAUACCUCUAUUUGGUUUGAAGAAACCAUAAGGUUGUCCUUCCACAAUAACAGAAUAAGAAACAGUUGUCACUAAUUCUCGAAUCCACAUGAUCCAUCGGGAGUCAAAACCAAACUUCUCCAAUAUAAACCAAAGAAAGUGCCAUUCCACCCUAUCAUAUGCCUUACUCAUAUCUAAUUUUAGCGUCAUUUCAUUUUCGAGACCCCUUUUUUUGUUCUUCAAGUAAUGCAUACACUCGUGAGCAAUUAGGAUAUUAUCAGAGAUUAAUCUGCCUUUAAUAAAAGCACUCUGCGUAGGGCUAAUUAGUCUAUUCAUCAUACCCUGAAGCCUAUGUACAAAUACUUUGGAGAUAAUCUUGUAAAAGACUGAAGAUAGACUUAUUGGUCUUACCUGAGUCAUAUCUUUAGCAUUAGAAAUCUUGGGAAUAAGACAGAUCUGAGUGUGGUUAAAACCCUUCAAGAUUCUGCCCCCAGAAAAGAAGCACUUAACUGCUCGAAACACAUCACCACUAAGUAUGUUCCAGAAGCUUUGAAAAAAUUUUGCUGUCAUACCAUCAUCUCCUGGAGCACUUUGAGGAUGAAUGCUAAAUGUUGUGCGUUUCACUUCCUCCAUAGUCACUGGUCUUUGAAGCCUACGGUUCAUGUGAGCUGUAACCUUAGGUUCAAAAUCAAUAAAUAGAGGUUCAAGGUUCUCAUGACAAGUGGAGAAAAAGAUGUCCUUGAAAUAAGAUUCAGCCACAGAAGCAAUACCAGCAUUUGAAGUAGCCAUUUCACCAUCACUGCCAGUUAGUUGCCAAAUUCUAUUUCUUCGGGUUCGGUUUCUAAAUUUCUGAUGGAAGAAAGCUGUAUUCUGAUCACCAGAUUUGAGCCAUUUGACUCUAGACUUAUCUUUCCAAUAAGAUUCCUCAUUUUGUAAUGCUUUUUCAAGUUUGUCCUCUAUUUCUGAAAUGGUGUCGCCUCCAUGAAUUCCUGCUAAACGAAGUUCCUCUAAUUCCGACUGUAGUAAAUCAAUCUCCACCUUCGAAUUAGAUAUGUGUUCUUGCUGCCAUCUGACAAUCUUAUGCCGACAACGCUUUAUUUUUUAAGCUAGGAUAUACAUGGCUGAACCAUCAAUCUGUUCAUGCCAAACCUCUCUAACAAUCUGCCUUGUUUCAUCAUUGGAACACCAUCUUUCUUGGAAUUUGAAUCGGCGUUUAGAUCUCUCAGUUCUCGGAUUAGAGUCUAGGAGAAGAGGGGCAUGAUCCGAGCCUGAUUCUGACAGUCUAAGAACCGUUGCAUUGGGAUAGAGUUGCUGCCAAUCAACUCCUAUCAGGAAUCGGUCCAGUCUUUCCUGUAUCAACUCAUCACCUCUCCGUCUAUUUGACCAAGUAAAUGGUCUUCCAACCAUACCAAUAUCAAUCAGGGAAUUAUCAUCAAUAAAACUAUUAAAGGUUUUAAUAGAAGAAGGAGAUUUAGCACCCCCACCUUCUUUCUCCAAUUGAUUAGAAAUGGCAUUAAAAUCCCCCAUUAAUACAAUCUUACCAUCGAACUGUUGGGUGACUGAAGUUAAUUCAGCAAAUUGAGCCAUUCUAUGUUGAUCAUUUGAACUGAGAUAAACACCUAGAACACCAUAGGGAUCAUUAGAACCAGCUGUUAGAACUGAUGCCGCAAUGAAAAAUCUACCAUGCUGUAAAAUCUGAACAGUGCAACCAUCCCUCCAUGCCAUUGCCAAACCCCCUGAUAAUCCAUCCGGAUCUACAAUAAACCAUUCCUUGAAACCACAAGAUCUUAGUUUUCCUUCAACUUGUCGAGGUUGAUUUUUUGUUUCACAGAUAAAACCAACCUCGGGGGAGUAGGAUUUGCAAAUCCCUUUAAGAUUGUGGAUUGUCAGGGGUCUCCCCAAACCCCGACAAUUUCACGAGAGCAGUUUCAUAUUUCUUUGGGUGCCACUUGAAGGCUGGCACCCUCCACCGUCAUAGCAAUUAUACGAGGGUUCUGAGUCUCUGAUUUGUUACUCAUGGUGUAGAGAAAAUCAGAAUUGGUAUUCAAUGAUUCCAAAGAGACAUAAGAUAUAUGGAAUGAGUAAAUUAGAAAACGGAAUGAAUUAAAAGAGGAAUGAAUUGGGAGAGAAAACGAAAAUUAGGGAGCUAAGUGGAAAAAAAAUUAAGAAAAGAAAGUAGAAGAAGAUGGAAAAGAGUUUGACGAAAAAAAGACAAAGAAAUGUGUAACCAUGGAGACGGCGCAGUGAAACCCUAGCAGAGCAUCGGGUGCUAGAUGAGGAGUACGUACUCCCACACGAAAAAUUAAAAAUACUUGCGGACAACUAAAUAUAUUUCUGACAUCUAAAUUUUUAAAAAAUUUACGGACUAAAAUUUAUAGUCUAAAUUGACUUUGUCAGGGUCUUUAAUAACCAGAUUAUGAUUUCAUUUUUCAAGUACUUGAGAUGAAUCUCUUGUAACUUUGUUCUUUAUCAAUCAAUCAGUAUUGCCAUAUUCUCACCCUGCUUUGCCAUAUUCUCUUGAAGACUUCUGAGUAACUUGGGAAAGCAAAUUGAGGUAUGGUUUCAUCUUUCAACGAAUUCAUAUAUACCUUGCAAAACUUUUUCUUAAGACCAGUAGCAUAUAUAUAUGAAUAUAUCUAGGUGUAGUCAGCUAUCUGAAUCAAAUGAUUUGUUGUUGUUAUAUAUAAUAAAAAACAGUUGUUUAAACCUACAGAUAAAGGGAGAAAAUUUGGAGUAAUACAUCAUCACCUUUUGCACUUGCUGCCAUAUCUGUGUGUGUGAGCUUUCUAAUGGGUCAUCAGGGACAUGUUCUGACGAGGAAACCAGAACAUCUUAGGAGGAAACUGGAGACAAAAGUUGAGCAAGUACAAGAACAUGUAAAGAACACAGUUCAAGUUGAUGGAACUGAAGGCGGUUCUUUUAUGCAGUUUGACUUUGAAUCAAGAGAAAGCACAUUGUGAAGGAUUACCACUUGCCAUUUCAAUAUUGGGGUCAGCUCUAAGAGCAAGAACUGUUGACCUGUGGAAUCUUACAAUUGAAAUGAAAAAAAAACUCACUUUUUUUAAGAUAGAACAUAAUGUUUGAAUAAUAAUUUCAGAAUAAAGAUGUGUAAAUAAUGUAUAGAAACUAGAAAGCAACAAUAAAAAAAAUAUCACAUUCAAACUUGAUACAGAAUUACAGAAAAGGAAUAUGCCAUAUGCAGUGGUCUUCAAUAAUUACAUAACAAAGUGGCCGCAUGUUCAUAAUAAACACUUCAAUUCUUACAAAAUACAAAGAUAUCAAAACUACCACACCAUAUUGGGAAUUGAACAUAUAAUCAUCCAAUCCACAUUAUACAACACAAACAUUAAUCUAGUACUAGUGUUUUUCUUAGAGGAUAGAAAAUACUGUUUGAAUAACAGUGAGAAUAAGCAGAAAAAUUCCAGCAAUAGAAACUACUAUUUUCCAUGGAGUGUUACAGUAAUCGCGCCUCAAAGUCGCAACAUUGAGUGCAAUUUUCCGCCAGUUCCUGAAUUUAGUCCUAGAAAAUUAGUUCGUUUGGGAUGUAGCCAUUAUCUUCUGAUUGUGGACUUCGCUCCAAUGUGGUAUAUUUAUGACUUGUCUGAGAAGAAGCUUGUGGCAAUAGUGCACGUGGAUGGUUUGGAGGAGGAUGAUGUGCGGGUAUCAAAUAUUUUUUGUUGCCAAUACAGUAGCAAAGAAAGUUUGAUUUAUAUAUUCACGGAACACGAGGAAGAGGAAGAACUUCUUCAGUUUGUUUCUUAUGCCAGAGUCAGGCUCCAACUCCAAACUUUUUCUGCCAAGAUUGAAUCCAAGGGUUAUCUUAGAGUUGGUCCUCAUUACAAAUACCAUAUGUGAGUAUGUGCUUCUCUUUAAACUUGUUUCACCCUAUCCAUUGAUUGAGCUUUGAUAUUUACUUGUUUAACUCGGUGGACAGAUUUGCUGCUGGAGAUGAAGGCAAUAAAGAGAAGAGUGUAGUUUAGUAUACGGGUGUGGUGUAUAUUAGGAAUUAGAAUUUGAGCAUGAAUGACAAAGUAGCCAAAGAAAGAAGUGAUGGAUAGCAAAGUCAUAUGAAAGCUGUAGCCACCUUGAAUCCAACUUUGUUGCCAAGACAUGCAUGCCAUUCUGCCUUUCUACAACUAUACAAAUAUUUUGUAAGCUAUGUAUUUACCUCUUUGGCCCUGAAACACACGACUCAACAUCUCCCAAGUCUAAGUGCAAUUCAGAUGUAUAUACUCUUUUAUCAUCAUCCUGGAAAGCAAGCAAUGAUUUUGCUAGAUUUAUUAAUUAGAGUUUAUAUCUUAUUUAAUAUAAAAUACCAUAAUAAUUAUAUUCAAAUAAAAUUAUUUAUCUAUUUUUAUUAUAUAAAAAAAGUUAAUACUAAAUUAUUGUGAGAUAAAUUUAUGCCAUAUAAUUUUUUUAAUAAAAAAUAUUAGGAUGUCAUCAGAAUUUCUUAAUUUUGGCCUUUAGUUUGUUAUCCAUGUUUAAAAGUAUGGAAUAAAAUAUGUUGUUAAAUUACUAAAUUAAAAAAACUAAAUUAAAAGAAUUGAAUUAAUGAGACUAAAAAUAAUAAAUUCUUGUUAGUAACAAUGACCCUACACUUGCAGAAAAUACGUGUAGUUAGUUAGAACUACUGAGCCAAAUCAGCAAAAUUGUUAGAAGUCAGUUAGAGCCAAAUCAGCAAAGUUGUUAGAAGUCAAUUAGUCUUUCCGUUAAAUCCUAUGUAUAUAUAUAUUAGUCCCUAUACUAACUUCUUCUUCUUCUUCUUCUUCUUCUUCUUCUCAAAGAGGCUGAUACCUUCACAUGGUAUCAGAGCUUUCUUGGAUCCAUGAAUAACUCUACACAAAUCUCACAAGCUCCAACGAGCUUCCUUAGCCAGAAUCUCUUCACAGCUUUCUCAACGAUUAAACUUAAUGAAAACAACUACAAAGCAUGGAAGAAACAGGCACUAGCGUGCAUCAAGGUAAACAAGCUUCAACAUCAUCUUGAUCCAAGAAAGGUUCCAGCGCAAUUCAACUCAGAAUUAGAUAGAUGUAAUGGAACUGAAGCACAGCAAUACAUAGACUGGGAGGUGCGAGAUCAAUGCCUGGUAGCUUGGUUAAUUGCAUCAAUGGAGCAGAAUUUUAUAAAUCGAGUAAUUGAAUAUGAUCAUGCAUAUCAGAUCUGGUAUGUGUUAGAUGAAUACUUUGAAGCCAGAGUGAGAAGGAUUUAAUUGGGGUUUAGGGGUUUAAUACAUUCAAAGUAAUAAAAUCUUAAUGGAAGGGGACAAGAAAAGAAUGACAUCAAGAAGAAGAAUUUAUUGGCAUAGGAGAUACAGCGGAAACAUAAAAGACAAAUAAAGGUUUUUUCUACUAGACCUCUAAGAUACCUGUUCUUAGCAACCUAGGUCACCGGAAAGGAUUCCCUACUAGACCUUCAAAGAACUUGUCCUUGACAACCUAGAUCAGAGGGAUGAAAACUGAAAGAAACCACCACGUAGAUCACCUUAGUGUUGGAUCCUUCAAUCUUCCUCAUGCAACAAACGAAGCAAAUCACUCACCUCACUUCUCACACAAUAAACGUGCUUAAAAGCAACUAAAAUUUAUUCAUCAAAGUUAUAUAAAUUGUCUCACCAGAAGGUGUUUAAAUAGACCCCAAACAAACUAGCUAAAAGAUAAGAUAAGAUAACUAAUUUAAAUCAGAUUUGAUCUUAUUAGAUUAGAUCAUAUUUGAUUUAAAUUUUAAAAUCCUAAAGAUAUGAUAACUAAUUUAAAUCAGAUUUGAUCUUAUUAGAUUAGAUCAGAUUUGAUUUAAAUUUAAAAUCCCUAAAAUUACUACUAAGCAUAGCAUAUUUAAAACAAGUCUUCUAACAAACUUUUGACCAGAUAACAAACUAAAACAAAAGUCUAGAAUUUCGAAUUUUAAAGAUAAAUUAUGCCUUCCACUGAAUUCGAAAAGCAUUAUUGGGCUUCUUGUUGUCCUGACUUAGCCCAAUGGGCCUUGCCCAUUCUUCCUUGGUUAGAACUUGAUGUAACUCCAUAUGCAUAAGCGCUGCCGGGUUCCCAAAGCUCUCCUUGAGCUUCUUUGCACGUGCUCUAGUGAUGGGGUCCUCUAGAAGUAUAAAAUUUCCAUUCUGUCCUUUUGUCUUAGAAUGCCCCUGUUGUCUUUCCGAGCAGGUAUCACAGAGUCAAAUCAAAGAUUAAGCAGUUGAAAACACAGCUGAAGACGUUCAAGAAACAAAGAUCCUCGACAUCUGAAUAUAUCUCAAAAAUCAAUCAGGUAGCAGACACGUUGAACGCUCUUGGAGCACCACUUACCAAGGAAGAAUACAUAGAAGCAGCACUAGGAGGUCUCAGUGAGAAAUAUCGGGCAUUCAUUACAGUUACAACAACAAGAAUAGACCACAUGACAGAAAGCGAAUUUGAGUCACAAUUACUCACAGAAGAAGAGCUAAUUGAUAGAUUCAGAAAGACAGAUUUAGGGUUGGUUCAUGCAAAUGUAGCUCAAAGCAGUGAGGAACAACAAAAAGCGCAAGAUAGAAGCUAUUAUCACUACAGUAGAGGUGGAUUUCGAGGAACGCAAGGCAGAGGCUACUUCAGAGAUUCUAGAAGGUCUACAUGGUGGCAAGGUAGCAGACCUCAGUGCCAACUAUAUAUGUGGAAAGAUAGGACAUACAGUUGUACAGUGUUACCAUAAGUUUAAUCAAGAAUUCAUGAAUCCUCAACUGCAACCUUUAAACACAGUUCAACCACCUUCAAUGGCAUUCCACAAUGCCUAAGGCAAUCAGCAACGUUACGAAGAUCCAAAGAUGCAGUCACCUACAACAGCGAAUCCACAAGCACUCCUCUCGUUGCCAUCAGCUCUCUCUAACACCACCUGGUAUCCAGACUCAGGAGCCUCACACCACAUCACAUUUGACCAAAGAAACCUUGCCACAGGAUCAGACUAUGAAGGCAUAGAGAAAGUGUAUGGAGAAACUGGCCAUGGUAUGAAAAUUGAGCAUAUUGGAAGUUCAUUUAUGCAUGCAUUUUUGUCCAACAGACCUUUCACACUAAGAAACCUACUACAUGUACCCACUAUCUCUAAAAACCUUGUCAGUAUCGCUAAAUUUGCACUAGACAACUGUGUCUUUUUUGAAUUCUGGCAUUAUUUUUGCAAUAUCAAAUGCCAGAUGUCCAAGAAGAUACUCUUUCAAGGUCUACUUAAGGAAGGACUAUAUAGAUUUGAAGUGAUCCAAGUUAUCCCAAGAGCCACUGAAACCAAGCCAUUACAUUCCCCACCCAUUACACCAACUUGCAAUACAUCACCAAUAUAUCUGAAAAACCAAAAUUCACAACCUAUGAUUCCAAAGAAAAACCAAGUACACCUGAUCAUGGUCCCAAAUCUUUAAACUUACCUGCUGCAGAGCCAAAUUCACUAAUCCAAGUUAUCCCAAGAGCCACCGACACCAAGCCUUUACAUUUUCCACCCUCUAUACCAACCUAUAACAUCACCAAUAUAUUUGAAAAAUCAAAAUUCACAACCUAAGAUCCUAAAGAAAAACCAAGUACGCCUGACCAAGGUCCUAAGUCUUCAAGGUUACAAGCUGCAAAGCCAAAUUCACCAACCUCAGCUGAAGUCACACCACACACUGUGGCCAGCUCAAACUCAACUACUGACAGCCCCCCAAAUUUCCCUUUAUAAUAAAAUUUAUGUCUUAUAUAUAUGGAAAAGUAAAAGAAAAAUCAGAAAACAAAGAUCUUCUUAAGUCUGUAAGAAAGGAGUCUGAUCCUAUAGCAGCAAACAGUACUUGUAAAAGAGUUAGUGACAUAACUCAACAGUGGCAUAGAAAAUUAGGCCACCCCUCUGAUAAAGUAGUUAUUCUUGUAAUAAAACAAUGUGUGCCGAAGCUGGCUGAUGCAAUAAAUAAAAAAAGCCUUGAACCUUCAUUUUAUCAUGCUUGCUGCAUAAGCAAAAUACACAAAUUGCCAUAUCCUGAUUCCUGUACAACUUAUGCACCUUUAGAAUUAAUAUUUUCUGAUGUUUGAGGGCCAGCACCAGUAUAUAAUAGAUCAGGUUUUUGUUACUAUAUAUGUUUCAUUGAUGCAUGUACCAAACAUACCACCACUUACCUGCUUAACACCAAAGCUCAUGCCUUUAAAGCCUUCCAACAGUACAAAGAAGCUAUUGAACUCAAAACAGGACUGAAAAUUAAAGCAUUACAGACAAGCAAUGGAGGAGAGUACAUGUCUCUGGCAUUCAACCAAUUUCUUACUGAUCACGACAUUCAACACAUGCUUACUUGUCCCUACACCCAACAAUAGAAUGGUAUUGUUGAAAGAAGGCACAGACACAUCACUGAAAUAUCACUCACCUUACUAGCUCAAGCCAACCUACCUUUCACAUUCUGGAAAGACUCAACCAUGACUGCCACCUAUCUCAUAAACAGAUUGCCCACCUAACUUCUCAACAACAAAACCCCAUUAGAAGCCCUUACCAAUACCAAACCAGACUAUGAUUUUUUAAAACCCUUUGGCUGCACUUGCUACCCUUUGCUAAGACCAUACAAUGUACACAAGUUUGAUCACAGAUUUGACAAAUCAAUAUUUAUUGGUUAUGCCACAGACCACAAAGGAUACAUGUGCUUAUUCCCAAAUAGAAGAGAAGUUAUCUCAAGAAAUGUGUACUUCAAUGAAUCUGAAUUUCCUUACCCACAACUAUUUCGAUCCUAAUCUCACCACACUAUCCUAUAACCAAUCCCCAAUCCCACUUUCAAUCUUAGUCCUCUUUCCUCUAUUCAACCUCUUCCUCUCACCACAUCCCCAACCCUUCCUAAUGCACCUCAUACAUUGCAUUCUAUAAAUGAUACUUUCAAUAUCGCCAAUGACAUACAUGCAUCAUUACCUGCAAUACCUAUAUCUGUGUCUGAUUAUUCUGCUCUUGCUGAUGAUACUAUUACUGUCGCUAAUCCAUCUCCCAGCAAUAUCACUCCUAAUGCAGGUGCUCAUCAAUCACCUAGAAUUGAAGCUGUACUGUCAGCCCCAACAACCUUGUCAAUGAACCAGCAUCCAAUGCAAACAAGAAGCAAAUCUGGCAUUUUCAACCUAAAACAUAUGCAGCAGUAGUGCAAGAGGGUGCCAUUGUCCUCUCGGAGACCCUACCGCCGACAGUAGCAGAGGCUCUCACCUAUCCCCAUUGGCGAAGAGCAAUGGAGGAGGAAUAUGAAGCUCUUUUGAGGAACCACACUUGGCAGCUAGUCUCCAAACCCACUCCUAAUACAAUCCCUAUCAUUGGUUGCAAAUGGAUCUUUAGAAUAAAGAGACAUCCCAACGGCACCAUUCAAAAGUACAAAGCUAGGCUAGUGGAAAAGGAUUUUUACCAAAAGAAAGGCGUGAAUUUUGACUAGGUUUUCAGUCCCAUAGUAAGGCUACCUACUGUGCGAAUCAUGCUAACUUUGGCUUUGGCAAAAGGAUGGAGAAUAAGGCAAUUUGACUUCAACAACGCCUUUUAAAUGGGGAUCUUUAAGAAAUAGUAUAUAUGACUCAACCAGAAGGCUUUCUCUCACCGAACCAUUUGCAUCAUGUGUGCAAACUUCAGAGGUCACUAUAUGGGCUGAAGCAGGCGCCUCGUGUGUAGUUCACUAAGCUCAAGACAACCCUCGACAGCUUUGAAUUCCAUAACAUUAUCUCAGACACGUCUCUCUUCACAAGAUUUACAGCAUCCUCCGCAACUUAUAUUCUUGUCUAUGUCGAUGACAUCUUAGUCACAGGGAGUUCGGACUCUGAAAUUGCCACACUAAUCAGCCAACUUAACUCAAUCUUUUCUCUAAAAGACUUAGGAGAAAUGAAUUAUUUCUUGGGUACCAAAGCUAUUAAGAGAAACGACAAUGAAAUACUCCUUUGCUAGACCAAAUAUAUCAAGGAGCUGCUUGCAAAAGCGGAAAUGUAUGAUGCAAAAGCCAUGCCUACUCCAAUGGCAUCCAACUUAAAACUCUCAAUGCAUGAUGGUGAAACAUUUCAGAAGCUAAUGCUGUAUAAAUUCAUUGCAACAUAAGGCCUUCAGUAUGCAAUAAUCACCAGCCAGACCAGAUAUUACCUUUGUAGUCAAUAAAGACAAUUUAUGCACCACCCUCUAAAAAUUCAUUGGAGAGCUUAAGGCAAAGAAAAGGGGAUUAUUUUGAGGAUAAAAAUUAUGCACCACAAUAUAUAUUCAAUAUUAAUAAAAAUUAUUUUCACAAAUAUUUAAAAAUAAAAUAAUGUAUAUUAUCAGUAAUGUAAAAUUAAAUAUUAAAAAAACAAAGUCACCAAAAAAAAUAUUUAAAAAACAAAGAAAAGGGGAAAGCAAUUUAGUAACAAACCAGCGUGAAAAAGGAGUAUUUUGUUAAGAAACUUUGUAUAAUGUCAUGCAUUGCAUGGCGAAGAUAGUGUUUGGUGACCUAAAACCUAAAACUGAAAGCAACAUGCCAAUCAUGUCGGCGCCCGCACUCUUCUCCACCGUUAGCGCCGCCACGGCCACUGCCACGAUCUUGUUCUUAAUCUGCAAGUCUCGUCUCAUGCACGAAAAGAACCUCACAACACACCAUCGCCAACAACCCAAACGCAAUCCCGAACAACCCAAACGCGAUCCAUGUGGCAAGAUGCUAUUCGUUUCCCAAAUCGGAACUUCAAAAGCCCUAGCGACGCGCCUCUGCGAUUUGUUAGAGUCGAAAGGCGUCGUUUUGGACCUCGUAGAUGCCCGGAAUUACGAGCCCGAAGCCCUACCCAAGGAGAACCUCGUCCUCCUCGUUGCUUCAACUUCGGAAGUUUGGAACCUACCUCCCGCACGGAAUUUCUCUUCCAAUCACGACCUACCUUGGGGAGCAGAGUGCUUCGUCAAUUGGAUCGAGAAAAAAGCGAACGCCUUUAAGGUUGGAGCGUUUGUUGUGAAUGCUUGCAGUUUCAGUGCCUUUGUGGUGGGCAGCGAGGUUACUGAAGGUGGGAAGAAUUUGAUGGCUAAGGCCGCCAAUGAGAUUAGGGGUUUGGGGCACACUGCUGAAUGGAAUGCGGAUUUUGACAGCUGGUGGGGAAGUGUUGUUGCGGUUUUGCAAGGUGCUGUUUUGGGAAUAUGCGGGGAAUCUGAACCUGAGGUCUGUUUCUGCAUCCUCUUAUCCUUAUAUAACUAUGGCGUUUCUAUUUAUUAUCAUCACACUGCAGAGCUCUCUAUCUAAUAUUUAAUUGUUUCCCUAAUUCCAGGAUGUUGGUUCUUCUGAUCUAAACCUAUCCAUGACACAGCGUUUAUAUAUGUUGGUGAAAAAUCUUGUAGAAGUGAAAACCGAGCCUUAUGUGAGAUUCUCUAGUACCACCAGUUACAGGAUGUUAACUAUCACUGACGACAACUUUAUGAAAAAUGGCACUGUUGAACUUGAACAAGUAUGUCAUAUACCUGCCCAAUGGCCUCUUAGAGAUGAUCUAUUGAUCGACAACGGUGUGUUACCAGAUUUUCAAGGAAUUUGUUCUGAUGGUCGCUGCUUUUACUUUACUGCUGAUGUGGGUGGUCUUAUAGAACAUCCGAACGUGGGUUAUUACGAUAGUCGCUACUCAAAGCUGUGGUGCCUUAAGUAUGAGGAUCCUACUUGGGUUUGGAGUCUAUGUGGAACCAUGUUCUGCUCCCGAUUAAGUCCCUUCGUAGUCCCAUACGAUGGCAAAUUGUGCAUGUUUGGGGGUGAGUAUGGAAUUGCAAAUUGGGUUGAGAUCUAUAGCCUAAAAUCAGGUCUAUGGGAAAAAAGGGAAGUGCCAGAUAGUGCUCUCUUCUCAGGUCACUCGUUCCCUAGCUCGUACUUUCUGUGGGAGGACAGCACCAAGAGUAGCAAGAAGACCCUCAUUGUAUUGUAUUCUUUUGAUGAUAAUCAUCAGUUGCUCAUGUCAUAUGACGUCAAGGCUAACAGAUGGGAAGAAGUUGAGUGCAAUUUUCCG